AAUCAUUGAUAUGUUCAUGCGGCAUCAUCCAUCCUUGGAUUCUUAUUUAUGACAUUCAGACAUAAUACAUAAGUUAUAUGGGCAUUAUUUAACUAAUGAGCUUGCAUAUCUUCAUUUCUCACUUUUACGUUGCCAAGCCCAUCUGAAAAAACAUAACGGAAAAAAAAUAAAUGACGUAAUUCAUGAUUUUCAAGAAUCUUAAUCUUGAUUAUAGAAUUCGAACCUCUUACAUGAUCAGUUAUUAGAGAAAUGUUUGCGGCUGUAGCUAUUGGUGGGACCAGUUUCCUUGGUGGUGAGGUUAGAACGGGCUUUGCCAGAAUAAAAAGGUUCGUCCCAGUCUGAGUCGCUGCGGGCAACGAAUUCAGUGUAACCGCCAGCCGUCAUGGGGGUUCCUUCGUUGUCUGAGUCAGAGUCCGACUUCUCGUGUGUCAUUUGACGGCCCAUUUCGGUUGGUUUCUUCUCUACUUUUCUAAACGACAUCGAUUCACCUACAAAGUUUUGUUUUUCUCUUAUUUUUUUGUUUAGCUAAAAUGUAUUGCCUUGGUGAAUUCGAGAGUUAAGGUUCCAUAUUUAUAGAUGAAGUUGCAUGUUGUAUGAACUUAUCAUAAGUUUGCACAUUGUUUGGAUUCCUCAAGCUUUUGUUACAUCAUUUUAUGAAUUAGAUUCAUUUCAAGUGGAUGAGAUUUACGUUCUUCACCUUUUGUGUUUUGACUAUAUAUAUUACUAUCAUUAUAGGGGAAAAUAUAGUAUAGAUAAGUAUAUAUGUUACAACAAAAAUUCGCUUAGAAAACGAUUUUUUUUGUGUAUGUGGUACAUGUAAAUUCGAUAUGUGGUAGAAUGUAGUUAAAGUCGGGAUGACCACCACAUUCUACCAAAUAUAUGUCUUUUUUGUGAUUUGUAUACUUGGACCAAAGAAAUGUUCAAAGUUUUUUGUAUCAUAGGUUUGAGUGUGGAAUGAACUGGUUUCCAAGUUUAAUGCAACUUUUUUUUUCUAGUAUGAAAAAAUCUAUGGUAUCAGUCGUUGAUGAUCCUCUUCUACCAUUCUCUCCAUAAUAUGAGAAUUCCAUUCCCAAUAUGGUUUUGGCCUCAACAAGCUCAGAUCAUAUCUACCAUUCUCUUGUAAUCUCUCUGUUCGUUAUCUAGGCUUCUGCUAUCCUUCACCAAACUUGACAAAGCAGAUUAAAGUUUUUUUUGCCAACUUCUAUCAAUAAUAAUGGCACAAAAAAGUUUUCUUACUAUGCGUUAAAUGCUAGUUAUUGCAAAAGAACCUCAAGCUUUUUCUUCCAUCAAGCUUUGAACAAGAUUCCAAUAGUAACUACUCAAUGCCAUUCUCAAUCGGAUUUAUACCUCCACAAAAUGUUACUUUAGCAUAUUAAGACAAAAAACCAAAUAAGAACCAAACGCAUCUAAACUAGCGUUGAACUCACGCGUUCAAAAUCAGAAUUAUAUGCCCAUUGAGUUGUAUAAUAUACAAGCUGAUUAAAGAGGAAGUGACUUCGAAAACUACAUAUUUACAUUUGCUUUACUAGACUGAAGAUUUCUCUUGUUCUUGAGUUGUUGAAGCUUCUUCAUCAUUACCAAGUUUAUCAUCAUCAUCUUCAGACUUCCUCAGAGCUUGUCUAAGACCCAACACGAUAAACAAAUUGGUAAGAGCAAGAAGUGAUUCAGCUCCUCCAUGUAACCAAUCAACAUUCGACAACGAUGUUCCAUAAUGCACCUUAGCUGAAAUUCAUUCAUUAUCAUUUAUCAAAACCCAUAUAAUCAAUUUUCAAGAACCAUUAAAAAAUUUAAGGGGGUGUUAUUGGUUUAUUAAUUUGUAAAUCCAUAUAGGAUUUGGAAAUUUCUAUUAAUUAUGAAAUCAAGAUAUAUAGAUUUUGAAAUAACAUGUGUUUACCCAUGGAUUUGAAUCCUUCUAUUUUUCUCUUUCAAUUCCAUACAAAUCCAUUUAAAACAUAAUUUGGAUUCUCAAAUCCAAAAACAAAUGACAAAACGAAUAACAUAGGAUUUUAACUAGUAUUUAUAAAUCAUGGAACUAAUAACACAUGAUUUUAAUUAGGAUUUUAAAAUCAAUGAUUGAAUAACAAAUGAUUUUUGUUUGGAUUUCUAAUUCCUUAUAAAUCAAUGAACCAAUAACCCCUCCUUAAAUCAAGGAGAAGAUUAAUGUUUUAAAAUCAAGAAAAGUACCAUAAAUCCCAGCAGGAACUGCAUUCCAUCAAAUCACCAAAGCCAGGAAAAAAAAAACAGAGGAAGGAUUAAGAUCGCUAAUAAAAAAACAGAGCAUGCGUUUACGAUUUGGCCGCAAACGCUGAAAACAGAGUACUUACUUGUAGCUCCAACGAAGGCAAGCAAGAAGUAGAAACCAAAAAGUGUGAGUUUUGGAGCUGAUUUGGAUUUAGUGAGGAAAUAGAGAAAGCCAAUGUAAGGAAACAGAGACACAGCGAAGAGUUGUGAUGCUAUGCUCUGUGAAUCAAUGGUUGGAGCCCAUGGAUCCACCGGAAACAUCCCUCCUGCGUUACACACGAUUGAUACUCUCAAAUCAUCUCUUCUUGCUUUCUUCUCUUUCGUAUCGGUGAAGUGCAAGAAGAAGCUUUUGUUUCUAGAGAUUGAGACAGUAGACUGAGAAAGCCCCCGAGUGGUGAACGGAGAUGAGCCCACAAAUCUAACGGCUGAGAUUAGCGUCGGGGAGUUAGAAUUUAUCAGAAUCAUGUCUCUCUGUUACUCUCACGGUGAGAGAGAAGGAAAACGUUGGUGGAUAAGAGGAGAGAAAGAAAAAGAAGAUAGAGGAAAAAACUUCGUGCCGUUUAGAUCUGCGUAAACUACAUAUGUGUCGUAUUUUUAGGAAAAAAGCCAAUGUCAGACUAAACCGGGUUGAACCAAACUUAAGCUUUAGAUAGAGAGUCUCUCAAAAGUCAAAAGUCAUUUAAAACAUGAUUGUAUGACUUGCCACCUAAAUCUAUGUAUUAGAAUAAUAGGUCUGAACAUGUUUCGGCCCCUUGAGAAUCUCUGGCGCCAUUUAAUCACCGGUCAUAGAGUUUUUGUCAGUGGGACGAGAGAAAAUGACUGACUAGAUGAGAAAAGAAAGGAAGACCAAAAUUACAUAAAACUUAUAGACUAGUCUUUAAAGUCAGAAACAAAACUGAGCAACACUAUCAAAUAAUGUCCGGGAAAUGAAACGAAAAUGUUUUCGGACAUAGGGGUGAUGGGGACCUAGGAGGGAACUGGUUCAAGCGUGGCCUGCUCGUGCCAUUCUCCAUUUAACUUUGACUGCCACAAUUUGACCAUUCCAUCACUUCCAGUGCUAGCUAAAGUCAUGCCACUCAUGUCCCAUUCCAUCUGCCAAACCUGACCAGGAAACACCAAACUAGUGUAACUUAGUUAUGUUUUAUGCCAAAUUGCCAAUCAAACCCUAUAGUUAAGUUCUCAGCAACUCCAACAAACACCGAAGAAUCAGAAGAGAUAUGAAAGGUAAAGAGCAGUGGAAUUUGAUACCUCGCCUUGAUGGCCAGAAAGCGAGGAGACCUUCUUUACUGGAAGCCUUCCUUCAAGAUCAGGAGCUAGACCAACAUGCCAUAUUCCUAUGCCUUUAUGAGUUGCAACAGCAACAACCUCGUAUGGUCUGUAGUGAAAGAUAUACAAAAAGAGGAUUAGUUUGAGUGUCUCAAGACAGCAACAACCUCGUAUGGCCUGUACUCAACCAAGAUUGUUUGAAUUACCGGCCAAUAUUUGGAGCCCAUGACAAAGCAUAAACUGGAUCACCUUUGUCUUCUGGUAAGGCUAAUUCUGCUACUGCCAACCAUCUGUUAUGAGCUUCAUCAAACUCCCAUAUCUAAAACAACAAAAUAAAUGGUGAUUCCUUCUAUUCGAUUCCCAGUUCAAAGAAAGUGAAAUAAAAGUCUCAGUUCAAAAUAUACCUUGGAAGAGUUAAGAUGUGGAGAGUCAGAGUUGAAGGCUAAAACAAAGCUUGGUUCUUGCUCUUCGCCUUUCAUCGGAUUCCAAGAAACAGAUGCAGAUAAGCUUGAAGGUUUACCGAGCAUCGAUAGAGAAUCGAUCACAUUCUGAAACUCGGCCUACACAGAAUGGUGAGAAAUAAGACAAGAGUAGAGAUGUUCAAGAAAUCGAUAGAAACAACAAGCCACCUGAAGUUGCCAAUUCUUUAGUUCCAAAGGAUUCAACAGCUCAAAAACCCUAAGGUAACCAUCAGAAUAUGCUGCAACCUACAAAAAUAAUCAAUGAAUCAUUCAAAAACCAAACCAAUCAAAACAAAAAACAGACUCUCUCACCAUCUUUAGACUCUUUCUGGAAACUCCAAAUUGAACAUCGAGCACUUGGCUAGACUUGUUCUUUAUACUCUUACACAAUUUCCACUCAAGAGCAUGUGAGUCUACCAAAAACAAAACAACUCUAUAAGAUAAACAGUUUUCAAACAAUGGACUUAGCAACGAAUCCAUGGAGAUUUUUUCACAGUGAGUUUACCUUCAGAGAGCUCCUCCCAAGUUGAUAAGCUCCCAUCUUCGCAAAUGCAGGCUACUGCAUCGCCGUACUCUGAAGGCAACCAAACGAUCUUUACGAUACUCGAUUCACUAACCCUAACUUUGGAAGUGCAAGUGAAAGUCGAAGAAGACGAAGUAGAGGAGUCGUAUACGGAAAAGCUUCCGUCGAGGGAUCCGGUGGCUAAUCGGCGGCCGGAGUGAUUCCAGGAGGAACAUGUGGUGCCAGAAUCUAGCGUCGCCAUUGAUUUCGCCAUUUUCUCGUGCACACUGAGAAUCUUCGGUGGUUAGGCGAUUUUUUCGAUUCGAUUUCUAAUUCGAGAUUGGGCCUUUUUUUUGGGUGCAAAAUUCGAAAUUGGGCCUAUUACGCAUUUAAUUGGCCCAUUUAUGCAAUCGACAAAUCGCAUAUGUUGAAAUUGUUUAUUCCGUUGUUGUUACGGUUACUAAAACUGUUAUCACAUUUGUUGUUAGCCGAUACAAAACGUAAUUUUUUAAUUUUUUAAAAAAGCUUUUUUAAAUCUUAAAUAUUAAUAAAGAAAAUUUUGAUAAAGCUUAAGAUUAUAGAUAUUUUUGACCUUCUAUAAAAUUUAUAAUAUUUGAAAAGAUACUAUAAAGUUUAAAUUGGUAAUAUGAUCAUUGCAUAAAAAUAUUAAAUAGGAGACAUUUUUUACAAAAGAUACUCAUAAAUUGAGAUUUUUAUAUUGUCUUAUUAGUUAGAUCCUUGAAUAUUUGUUUUGAUUACAUGCAAACGAGAAAAUAAUACAUAUUUGGAUUUGUAUAUCCAAAAUGUGUGUAAUUCAACAUUUGUACAAAUAUAUGAAAAAGAGGAGUUGUCACUUAGAUCCCGAUGUCAUAGAGACGGAGCAGCAAAAAUCUUGCACCAUUCUCUUUGCUAAUAUUGUCAUAGAAGUAUCACCAAAUCAUUGCAAAUUUAAGUUCUAACAAAGAGUGAUACAACAUUCGGUUAUUAGGAUUUAAUGUAUAUUUGAGUAUUAUGUUUUACUUCUUGGAUUCAUAGAACCUAAGAGGAAUAUAUAUGGUAAAAGUGCUUAAGGUUAAUCGUGUCAUUCAUAUGUUUACGGGUUGAAGCAGCUGUUGAUGAAGUAGCUAUGGACGAAGCAUCAAUUUCAAUUUUAUCAUGCAAGAGUUGGCCAAAUAUGAGAGUGCGGAAAGAGAAGUUCAAAGACUGCAAUGGAUAAUCAUGGAGAAUGAGUCAAAUGACGAAAAGGAAAUACUGAAAUCUCACUUUGAGGUUGUGAAAGCGAAUGUGAAAGCUUUUGUGAGAGAGAUGUUGCAAGCAUCUGACAAGGAAAGGGCUCUAGAAGUUGUGAAGAAAGUGAGGAGGACUUCAGAGGAGUACCUAUGGACGAAGCAUCAAUUUCAGUUUCUGAAUCCAUCAUGCAACAGUUGGCCAAAUAUGAGAGUGCGGAAAGAGGUUUCAGAGACUGCAAUGGAUACUUAUGGAGAAUGAGUCCAAUUGUUGCAUGAUGAGUUUAAAUUGGUAAUAUGACCAUUGCAUAAAAAUAUUAAAUCAUAGACAAUUUUUAACAAAAGAUACACAUAAAAUUGAGAUUUUUAUUGUCUUCUUAUUUAGACUCUUGGAUAUUUGUUUUGAUUACAUGGAAACGAAAAAAAUAAUACAUGUUUGGACUUGUAUAUCCAAAAUGUGUGUAGUUCAACAUUUGUACAAAUAUAUGAAAAGAUGAUUGGCGCUUAGAUCCUGAUGUCAUAGAGACGGAACAGGACAAAUCUUGCACCAUUCUCUUUGCUAAUAUUGUCUUAGUAGUAGCACCAAAUCAUUGCAAAUUUAAGUUCUAACAAAGAGUGAUACAACAUUCAGUUAUUAUGGUUUAAUGUAUAUUCGAGUAUUAUGUUUUACUUCUUGGAUUCAUAGAACCAAAUAACAAGUAAGAGAUACAUUAAUACCUAAUCAAAAAAUGCAUAACCGCAAAGAGAUACAAAAACUCAAUGAGUGGUAUAACAUUCCCAAGCCUUAAGGUUUUCUACUAAUCUAAAAUAGAUUUUCGUGAUAUAAAAGUUGUAGAUACAUAUAAAAUAUGUAUUAUAUACAAGAAGAGUCUUAAAUAGCCAUACAAUAUUCUAUCACUUUCUAAUAUAUAAGUCUAUAUUUGUUUCAAGGCUAAUCGACGAUUUAUUUCUCUAACUCCAAUAAACUCGUCAAGAGGCUCGGAAACAUAGUUGAUGACACUAUUUCGAUGACGCUGAUCAAAAGAAAAAUUUGAAUGUGGGGUUUGAUUGGUAGGAUCUGUCCAUUUAUUAAUUUCAGAGCUUUAAAACUAAACAAUUAUGCUUUACAAUAUUUUUUAAAAGCUAUAGCUAAGAAAAAAAGUUCUUUGAAAAUAUUGCUUUUCCUUUAAAAAUAUUUAUAAAUAUUAUUCAGAAUUUUUUUUAAAUAUAAAUAUUAUUCAAACAAAGCAGAAAUAAAUAACUAGAAAAAAGGCUGUCCAAAAAAAAAUUGAAAGGCGUUUGCCAGCCACGUUAAAAAACGUAGUAAUCGCGUCAUCAUUUCGGAAAAAUGGGUAAAAAAAUCCUCACAUUUCUUAAAAACAUAGAAAAAACCCUCAAUUUUUUUUGUGGGUUUUUAAACCCUCACUUUUUUAGAAAUGGUUAAAUAAACCCUAAUAUUAAUAAACUUAAUUUAAUUUUUUUUAAAAUCAUUAUAUUAAAAUAGUAAGAAACAAAAAUAAUUUAAUUUAUGAUUUUUUAUUUCAAAUUUGAGUUUACGAUUUUUUUCUAAAAUUAGGGUUUUUACGCUAUGAACAUUUAUACACCAUUUAGUUGAGAUUAGACAAAUUAUUUUUGUUACAAUUAGAAGUUAUGUUAUAUAAACUACAAAAUUUUAUAGGAUAUCACAUUUGAUUUUUUUUUUGUUCGAGUGUUCAGGUUUUGGAUAAAAAUAUAGUUAAAUAAUGAAUUUUAAUAUAUCGUAAUAUAUAUAUAUAUAUAGAAAUAUUAAUUGUUAGUAAAUCUUAUUUAGUUUGUCCAAUGAAAAUAUUUUGAUGUGGAAAUUCAUGUACUUUUCGUAGUAUUAUAAAAUUUGGUUUGGUUUUAUGUUAGUAAAUUUGUGUGAUCAAACCUAAUAAACCUUUACUAAUAAAAACUCAUAUUCGGUUUCGAUAUAAGAAUUUACAUAUAAUUCGUAAUAAAAUCAGUUUGGUUUCACGUUAAUGAAUUUUUGUAACACACCGAAUAAAACUUCACUAGUUAACUUUUUUACAUCAUGACUUACAUAUUUUCAAUUUAGAAAAAUAUUGUAAACUAGAAUUUUAGAAAAAAUAUCCUAAAUCAAAUUGUUUCUAUUUAUUUAUGUUUUAGUAUAACUAUUUUUUUGAAUUUAAAUUAAGUUUAUUAAUACUAGGGUUUAUUUUACCAUUUAUGAAAAUGUGUGAGUUUAAAAACCCACAAAAAAAAAUUGAGAAUUUUUUCUAUGUUUUUAAGAAAGGUGAUAGUUUUUUUACCCAUUUUUCCCAUCAUUUCUAUUGCCAAUUUGCGAGCCACUUUUUUAUUACUUUUUAAUUUUUACAUUUUUAUCUUUGGUGAAUUCUCACUUUUACAUAAUAGUCUCCAACGGAAAGACGACGGAGGACGGUGCCCUUAAACCUGUGUAUCAGGCUCAGUUCCGACCGCCACAACGCCGAUCACUCUCAAAUUCUCUCUGGUACUUUAACACUCGACCAACGAUGAAUUCGGCAGAACAAAUCAAUCCGACCAAACCGGAGAGGUAAUUUUUACCUUAAUUUGAGAAAUUCCGCACAAAAGGUGAGUUUUGAGUAAUUAAUUAGUGGAUGCAGGAGCACAAAGUUAGUGUCUUUCCCCUCCGAUUUGAUGAUUCUGGCCAAUAAAGCGGCGGAGGAGGAUGAGUCGUUACAAAGUAAGAAAGCAACAUUUUUUAUUAUGACUCAGAAGAAAACUUUGUUCCUAGUUAUUGAAAUGGCUAUGUAGAGUUACAUAAUUGCAAUAUAUUUUUAAAGCUUGAUCCAUGAUCUGAUAGAGAUUCAAUUUUGCAGAUGAACAAGCUGGGACUCAGGGAAAGCGAGAGCUUAUGAUGCAACGAAAAGCUAAAUCAACAACAGCAGCAAAAUUUCUUAAAGAAGCUAAAUUGAACAAAGGUCUUGAAUUGUACCAAAUUUAUAAGAGGAAGAAAAGAGUCAACGAGUCUGGUCUUGGAGGUUGCACUAGGUUUCUUAGGAACAACAACUUGUCUCCUACUCUUCAACAUUUGUCUUUUGGAGAUUUAGUGGUUCUGGCGAAUGCAGCAUCGAUUGAUGGUGCCCGAGAAGUGUCUAAGGACGUGGUGGUGGAAGCGGCAGAAGAGUAUUUCCCGGAGAGAGUUGAGGAAGGUACCUGUAAGAGGAGAGCCAGAUUGUUGUUGCAUUGUGGUUUAUUAUAGAUAUAUGCGAUUGGUAUGUCAAACUUUGGUCUAAAGUAAAGACAUUUGAGAUGAUGAAAUUGCAGGUAAGCAGAGAGAAUCUGGCGACAUGGACUGUGGAGGAAGUUGCUUUGUGUUAUCUGAGGAGCUGCUGAAAAACCGAGAGUUGAUGCUACAAAAGGGUGAAGCAGCACCAGUGAAGGUUGUUGAAGAAGUUAAACCAAAGAGCGAUCCUUCUGAUGGUUUUCGUGAUGACAAAUUGUUUAAGAAGAAGUAUGUCCGGAGGACAAGAGUGAAGAACAAGGAGCAGCUGGAAUCGACAUCAGUUGGAGCGGUUGCUGGAACUUGUAAUCUUGUCAAGAAGUUGUGCGCACUCAAACCGUCAAGCCUCUUAACUAAUGUGGAUGCAGCAGAGAGAGAAGAAGGGCUGUUGUACAACAAUGGUGAAACUCAAUCAAAAUCUGAACAAGGUCCUUGCAGCGGAGUUAACAACAAGACGAAGAGCGGAGAUGAGACAGAAGGAAACGCAGCUGCAGUUUCCGGGGAAAAGCAGUCUGUUUGUCUUUAUUCAGCAUGGGAACGAGAAUAUCCCAAGAGAAAACGCAGUCUACUGAUAAGAAAACCCAAGGAACCGAAGAAGACAUUGGGUAAGAGCAGAGAAGGAAAGGAACAAGUUUGUGACCAAAUCGACAUUUCUGAACAAGAAGCUGAGACAGAGGAGGAAGGGGAUGUUUCUGAUGCAUCUAACUCUUCUAGUCGCAACUUGUGUAGUAGUUUCAUCUUCAAUGUUCAAUGGAGCAACAAGAGGAAGAGAAAUUGCAUGAAACUAGAGGAAGCACAGAGCAACCGCGCAAUCCUUCUUAUUGCUGUUGAAGCAAUCACCAAUCAUUUGGGUCUCUUAGACAUUAGCAUUUAGGAGAAGAGCUCUUAGCAUAGUCUUCUUAUUUUGUAUCUACUCUUAGCACUGUAGACUACUUUUGUAUCUAGUCUUAGUACCGUAGAGACUAGUUAAGAGAUAAUAUAAUAUAAUCUUUUGAUGUAAAUCAAAUCUGAUUUAUAUGACUGAAAAUUAACCAUAAUGUUAUAGAACUUGUUGUUCUUAUUGAUUAAUGAAUAGGGUUUCGAUACAUAUUUAUACAUGAUGAGGGGAGACAAAUCCCCAUUGGGCUAGUAAACCCUAAAGCCCAAAAGCCCACUAAGAUAAGAUAGACCGUCAUAAGGAGAAUCAUCUAGAAUAUGGACAUGGGCCUUCUAGAAUAUGGAUUAGGCCCAACGGUUAUGGAGUCCAUCCGACCAUGCGGUCUACAACACUCCCCCUUGGAUGACAUAACCGUGUAGAUGCCAAAAGGAUCUCAGUAAUACGCUCGGGGAUGCUGCCUCAUUAAAACCUUACCAGGAAAACCCAUUGGGAUAAAACCAUGGUUAAGGAAAAAGAGUACAGCACGUAUUACUCCCCCUGUUUUGGUCAUCCCUGCAAGUCCUUAAGUCUCCGCAUUCCAAUUUGAUGCGUGAGCUUCCUUAAUGUCGAUGUUGGUAGCGCCUUGGUGAAGAGAUCGGCUGAGUUGUCGCUGGAUCGAACUUGUACCACUCGAACUUCUCCAUCCCUUUGCAAGUCAUGCGUGAAGAAGAACUUUGUUAGAAUGUGCUUCGUCCGAUCUCCCUUGAUGUAGCCGUCUUUGAGCUGAGCGAUGCAGGCCGCAUUGUCCUCGUACAUGAUCGUUGGUUCCUUCUCUCCGUCCAUGCCACAACUGGAUCGUAUGUGUUGAGUCAUCGACCGCAACCACACACACUCACGGCUGGCCUCGUGUAUCGCUAAGAUCUCCGCGUGAUUGGAUGAAGUGGCUGAGAUGGUUUGCUUCAUUGAACGCCAUGAAAUCGCGGUUCCUCCGUGUGUGAAUACAUAACCUGUUUGUGACUUACCAUUAUGCGGAUCUGAUUGAUAACCUGCAUCAGCAAAACCAACUAAACCUUCUUUGUUAUGGUUAGCAUAAAAUAGACCCAAAUCAACAGUUCCUUGUAAAUAACGUAAAAGAUGCUUAAUCCCGUUCCAGUGCCUUUGGGUCGGACAUGAGCUAAAUCUCGAUAGGAGGUUCACGGCAAAACAAAUGUCUGGUCUAGUGUGGCUAGCCAAGUACAUUAACGCUCCUAUGACACUGAGGUAUGGCACUUCAGGACCGAGAACUUCUUCCUCAUCCUUCUUUGGACCGAAUGGAUCACUAUCCAAUCCGAGGCUUCUCACCACCAUUGGGCUGCUCAAUGGGUGGGCCUGGUCCAUAUUGAAUCUCUUGAGUACUUUUUCAGUAUAUGCCUUUUGAUGCACAAGGAUUCCAUUAUUCACGUACUCAAGUUGCAAUCCCAAACAGAAUUUUGUCUUGCCUAGGUCUUUCAUCUCAAAUUCUUUCUUUAGAUAUUCGACUGUUUGGGCGAUUUCCCCAGAGGUUCCAAGGAUGUUUAAAUCAUCCACAUAUACUGCUAUUAUCACAAACCCUUUGUUUGCGAAUUUCUUUAUGAAGAUACAUGGACUGAUGGGAUCAUUUUUAUAACCUUCUCUGACUAGGUAAUCGCUUAGUCUAUUGUACCACAUGCGCCCACUUUGUUUCAGUCCAUAAAGCGAUUUGUUCAGCCUUAUGCAGUAUUGGUCUCGAGACCCUUUCUUAUCUUUAUCUUUGAGCUCAAUGCCCUCUGGUAAUCUCAUAUAUAUUUCGUUAUCCAGUGGACCAUAUAGAUAAGCGGUCACAACAUCCAUUAACCGCAAAUCAAGAUUUUCUUUUAUUGCCAGACUUAUUAAGAAUCUAAAGGUCGUUGCAUCCACCACAGGGGAGUAUGUUUCUUCAUAAUCUAUCCCCGGUCUUUGCGAGAAUCCUUGUGCUACAAGCCGUGCCUUAUGUCUCACGAUUUCAUUAUUAUCAUUUCUCUUCCUUACAAAGACCCAUUUGUGUCCUACUGGUUUUAUCUCAGAUGGUGUCCUUAAUAUCGGACCAAACACAUCUCUUCUCUUUAAUGAACUUAAUUCCACGUUUAUGGCUUCUUUCCAUUUUAGCCAAUCUGAUCUUUGAGUGCACUCUAAUAUAGACGUGGGUUCAUGAUCCUCAUUUAUUUCAAUUGCUACCUUAUAUGCAAAUAUUUCAUCGAUGUCGACAUCUUUGCGGUUCCAUUUUAUUCCAGACAUGAUAUAAUUUAUUGAUUUCUCAUUAUCAUCUAUCCCUUCAGGACCAUGAGGAUUGGCGUCCCAAAUCUCUCUAUUCGGUUCCUUAGGGUCUGCCGCGGCCAUGUCUAUGGUUUCCUUCACCUCGUUUCCUACUGCACCUUUCUUUGAUUUUCGAGGAUUUUUAUCUUUGGAACCUAUUGGUCUACCACGUUUCUUACGUGCGUUAGACUCUGUAGCAAUUUCAUUGAUUCCCUUUUGGAUAUCAAUACGUACUGGUGCAUUACAAGCUGGUAUGUACGAUUUUGUAACUUUCUUUGGGUCAACAAAGGAAUCUGGCAAUUCAUUAGCUAGCUUUUGCAAAUAUAUUAUUUUCUGGACCUCUGAUUCACAUGCCAGAGUCCGAGGAUCUUGCCAAUUCAAGGAUGUUUGAUUCCAUGAUAUUUCUUUAACCAGCUUGUUCGUCUCUCCACCUAAAGUAGGAAAUUCGGAUUCAUUAAAUUGAUAAUCCGCGUAUCUAGCCUUAAAUAGGUCACCCGUAGUUGGCUCUAGAUACUUAAUAAUGGUGGGAGAAUCAAAUCCAACAUAUAUUCCCAUCCUCCUUUGAGGUCCCAUCUUUGUUCUAUGUGGUGGAGCAAUCGGUACAUAUACGGCACACCCGAAAGUCUUUAGAUGGGAUAUGUCUGGCUCAUGACCCAUGAGUAAUUGGGAUGGUGAAUAUCUAUGUUCACUAGAUGGCCUUAUGCGUAUAAGUUCUGAUGCAUGUAAAACAGCGUGUCCCCAAGCGGCUACUGGAAGCUUCGACCUCAUGAGUAAUGGUCGAGCUAUCAAUUGAAUUCGUUUAAUGAAGGAUUCCGCUAAUCCAUUCUGUGUAUGUACAUGUGCUACGGAAUGUUCCACACUUACCCCCAUGGACAUACAGUAGUCAUUAAACGCUUGGGACGUGAAUUCACCGGCAUUGUCUAGACGUAUAGUCUUAAGCGGAAAAUCUGGAAAGUGGGCUCGCAGUCUUAUUAUCUGGGCCAAUAACCUAGCAAACGCUUGGUUUCUAGUAGAUAGGAGACAAACAUGCGACCAUCUUGUCGAUGCGUCAAUGAGGACCAUAAAAUAUCUAAACGUCCCACAUGGUGGGUGUAUUGGUCCACAUAUAUCCCCUUGUAUCCUUUCCAGAAAAUUUAAGGUCUCUUUAUUUACCUUAGCCGGUGAUGGCCUUAUAGUGAGUUUCCCUUGUGAACAUGCUUCACACGUGAGAUUCUUAGGGAUAACUCGUUUCUCUUUUAGGGUGUGCCCCUUUGAAUUAGUUAUUAGUUUACGCAUCAUACAAUGACCCGGAUGGCCAAGCCGGUCAUGCCAUAAAGUGAAUUUCUCGAUGAACUCUUUGUUCAUUGCCAUAUUAGCUUCGAUCAUAUUGAUUUUAGCAUAGUAGAGACCAGUGGAUAAUGCGGGUAUAGUCUCUAGGACUUUCUUAUGUCCUUGGGUGAUCUCAAUUAUAUUUAGGAAUUCUUUGUUCCCUUCACCCUUUGUUUCAAUAUGGAAACCAUUUAAUCUUAUAUCUUUGAAACUUAACAAGCUCCUCUUUGAGCUGGGUGAAUAUAGGGCAUCGCUUAUUUCAAGAUGCGUGCCCUUUGAUAAAAGGAUAUGGGCUUGACCGUGGCCCUCAAUGAGACUAGCUAUACCCGCUAUGGUGCUAAUAUUGGCAUUUUUCAAUGUUAGAUUUAUAAAGUAUCUUUUGUCUUUUAAAAUUGUGUGGCUCGAUCCACUAUCCACCACAAGUAUAUUCUUGUCAUCGGCCAUUUCUAAUAUUGACAAGAAAAUAUGUCUCAGAUAAUAAAGCAAACGAUUAUAUUAAAAGCAAAUUAAACUUAAAUUUAAAUCCAAGACAUAAUAGUAUUCAAAACAUAGAAUAGAAUUCAAAGACAUAGAGCAUGAAAACAUAAAGCAAAACAAAGCAAAUUAAAACACAAGAUGUCGAAUUUAAUUUUCCUCUCUUAAGCAAUCCGAAGUCUCAUACUCCAAUUGGUCAUCGUUCUCAUGGUCGAAAUCUCCAUCACCAUCGAGAUGAGCCAAAUUGGCUUCGGGAUUCUUCUUUAUCAUUUCUUGAUAAGCAUCGAUUAGAUGUUUAGAUGUCCUGCACGUCUUAGCCCAAUGAUUGUCCAUUCCGCAUCUAUGGCAAACGGAUUUGACCUUGUGUUGCGGUUUGAAAAUUCCGCGGCCACGACCUCGACCAUUGUUCCCACGGCCUCUACCACCAUGGUGGUUUCCUCGGCCGUAGGAGUUAUGGUUGCUGCGACCACCACCACGUCCUCUACCACGGCCACGACCGUGAUACCCUCUAUGGACGUAGUUGGUUUCUUUGGUCUCUCGAGGUUCUUUGGCUAUUUCGGCCUUAUGGGCUUCCGGCAACGGUGUGGAUCCUGGAGGUCUCAUCGAGCUAUUCAUUAGUAAUAGCUCAUUAUUCUUUUCAGCAAGGAGUAAGCAGGAGAUCAAACUUGCAUAUGUUUUGAAUUUCAUUCCACGGUAUUGUUGCUGAAGUACCACGUUAUUAGGGUGGAAUGUUGAGUAUGUUUUCUCAAGCAAGUUAUUAUCAGUCACCGUUUCACCACAUAGCCUCAGGAUUGAGACAAUCUUAAAAAGCUCGGAGUUAUACUCCUCCACGGAUUUGAAAUCCUGGAUCCUGAGGUUUUUCCAAUCAUAUUGGGCUCUCGGUAAGAGUACCGUCUUUUGGUGAUCGUAUCGAUUUUUCAACUCGAUCCAAAGAUCGAGAGGAUCCUCGAUAGUAAGGUACUGAUUCUUAAGGCUCUCUGCUAGGUGAUGGCGUAUAAACGCAAUCGCCUUAAACUUCGACCUCUUCUCACACUCAUUGUUUUCCAUAAUGCACUCGGCGAGAUCUUUGGAUUCAAGGGCUAUCUUAAUGUCCAAUGCCCAUUGUAAGUAGUUGUCGCCGGAAACGUUGAGUGCAGAAAACUCGAGGUUCUUUGUUUUCGACAUCUACAAGCAAAAGAAGAUUGAGUCAAAAUCAUGUAAUCGUUAAUGUCAUGUGGUAUUAAAAACCAAACAUGAAUCGAUUUACUUAAGGAUUUGACUUUCCUCAUAGGGUUAAAUUUCCUUUUCUAAAUAUUUCCUAAUUUGAUUAGGAUUUUAGGGUUUUAAGAUUUCCUAUUUUUAUUUAAUAUUUUUAGGGUUUAGGAUUUCCUAUUUUAUUUAAGAUUUUAGGAUUUCUUAUUAUUCCUAGGAUUUAGGGUUUUAAAGAUUUCCUAUUAUCCCUAAGAUUUAGGAUUUUAAAGAUUUCCUAUUAUCUAGGGUUUCCUAUUUAGGGUUUUAAGGGUUUCCUAGAUUUUAGGGUUUUAAAGAUUUCUUUUAGGAUUAUCUUUUCUAGGUUUUCUAGGGUUCAUGCAAUUUUAGUUUUAGGGUGAUAAGCAUGUAAUCAAUCAAAGGAGCAAACAAUCUAACAACCUAAACAAUCUCAAUCAAGCCGUUUAAACAUAUGGAAUUUUCGGAUUAGGUUCGUUUUAGUUUUAGGUUUUUUUAGAUCUUUAAAGUUUCGGAUUAGCUUAUGAAUUUUCGUUUUGCGAUUUAAGGUUUAUACAAUAAAACUUCUCUAGCAACUUAGGCGAGUUUAGUUUAAGCAAUAAUCAACCUUUCUCUAGCAACCUAAACGAUUCAAACAAACGGAUCUUACAAGCAAUAGGAUUACUUUAAACAUUCAAGGUUCGUUUUAGGUUUCCACCGUUCGUUAGAUUCAAGUUCAUGAUCAGUUUUCAAUAGCAAUCACUUGAACAAUCAAGACUCGUUUUAGUGUCUUAGCCGUUUGUUAAUUUCAAGUUCAUGAUCGGUUUUCACAAUAAAAAAACAAUCACUUAAGCAAUCAAGAUUCGUUUUAGAUUCCCACCGUUUGUUAGGUUCAAAUUCAAGAUCGGUUCUUUACAAGCAAAAGGAAUCGUUUAUACAAUACAGAUUCGUUUUAGGUUUCCACCGUUUGUUAGAUUCAAAUUCAAGAUCGGUUCUUUAGCUUUUAGGGUUUUGGUUUUUACCUUUCACCUUUUGGGGGUUGUAUGGAUUAGAACCGGGAGCUAAAGACCUCGGUUAUCAAGCUUAUCACGAACGUGGGGUGCUAGGAGGAGAUCGCCGAUCAAGGAGCAAAGCGAGUAGUCGGCGGUUUGGUAGCUUCAAGCGGUGGACGAGCUCGGCGAAUUUAGGUUUAGGGUUUUUAGGGUUUUGUUAAGAGCAACUCGUGCUGAUAACGUGUUAUAGAACUUGUUGUUCUUAUUGAUUAAUGAAUAGGGUUUCGAUACAUAUUUAUACAUGAUGAGGGGAGACAAAUCCCCAUUGGGCUAGUAAACCCUAAAGCCCAAAAGCCCACUAAGAUAAGAUAGACCGUCAUAAGGAGAAUCAUCUAGAAUAUGGACAUGGGCCUUCUAGAAUAUGGAUUAGGCCCAACGGUUAUGGAGUCCAUCCGACCAUGCGGUCUACAACACAUAAUAGCAAUAUUUUUGGAAGCCAUAAUAGUUAUUUUUUAUUUUUUUUUAUUUUUUUUUAUUUUUUGACAUCUUUGGAUCGACAAGGCCCGAUCCAUAGCCAAUCCAUACUACUCGGGGUAACGCGACUUAGUGGAGUCGACCUCCGGUGGGGAAGGCGGAGUCAAGUGGACUUAACCACUUGACUAAAGGCACAUCCCCGCCAUAAUAGUUAUUUAUUUAAAGGCUAUUUUAAUCUAUACACUAAUAUCUUCAUAUUAAUAUUUGGUGACUUAACUACGGUAUAGUAUUAUUUAUAGUCAUAUAAAAAUAAUUAAGAACAUGAUAUACCAACAAGCCGACUCAGCGGGAUUCGCUCGGACGUUGUUUUUCUAACAAGCGAGUUGAUCUCUGAGCCAACCAUCUCUGUUGACUCUCCUGACUCGGGGAUCGUCGUAAGCGAGCCCGUCUUAUCGAAAACAACGUAGUAUUUGUCCAUGUCUACUUCGUCGUGACCUGCCUUAAACGAAGCAUUUGAUUGUUUCUGUCUCAACAUUGACUUAAUGAGUUUCCCCAGAGAACGUGAGAUCUUCUUGGUAGGGGAUUGUUGUUUCUUGGUUAAAGAAGACGUUGUUUCUGACGGUGGAGGAGGAGUAGGAGAGAGGUGUGGCAUGGACAUGGAUCUAGCUGAGGAGGAGAUGGCUGAGUCGAGUUGGCGAUUGAAAGAGUUGAGCUCGAACGAGUCAUAGAGUGUACUUUCGCAAUCCCACACCUUCUUCUUCUUCAUCUUAUCAAGAUUGGUACUCUCUUCUGUGUUUUGUUUCGGAUUCAUGAUCACCAUCUUGUUCUUUGGGUGAUUUUCCAUCUUUUUAGUGUUUUCUGAUCUUUGUAUCGAGUUUUUGUCUGUAGAAAUAAAAAUAUAAACUCAAUAUGAGAUAAAUAGUGAUGCAUUAAUUCAUCAAGACGGUUCAUAAAAAAAAAGAUAUAAAUAGAAAAUUCCGUGGGUGCACAAAAAAAAAAAAAAAAAAAGAAAAUUCCGUUUUCCAUAUUUUAAAAAAAGUUCAUGGAUGGAUGAAUGAAAAUAAAAGUAUAACAAACCCAAUAAUAUGAUGAUAUAGCAAACAUAAUAAUUUGGAACUACUAGUUAUGACCUUAUAAGGAUAUCAAUGAUCAAAACCUGAUAACUCACAAUUUCCAAUCUUGAUUUUCAUAAUAUAUGAUGAUGAUGUCAAGCUCUUAGAAGAUUGAUCAUCUCUUGUCGUCUUAGCUUUUCUUAAACCCUCAGUGAUUUUGAUAUGCCCUUUAAUCAUCAUAUCAUCCUUAUUUGUCUUCUCCUCACCAUCCGCUUUUGUUGCCAUCUUCGGUGACUCCAAGGCUCUUUGUUUGACCUCCAUUUUAUUUUUCUUUCUUUCUAUAUGAACCUUUUUUUCUUUGGUAGUGAUUAGUGAAGGACCUGAAAGUUAUAUAGAGAUUGGAGUGUUCGGUGAAGAAUAAAACGCGUAGCCAAUACCUUUUUCAUGUGUGAAACUUCAUCGUAAUGAAUUUCACGGUCUCUUCAUAUAUCAAACUAGAUAAGGACCCGUCGGACGGGUUAUUUGUCGGACGGGUUAUUUGUUUAAAAAGUAAAAUCAAAUUUAAAAAAAAAAUUAAUUAACAACGUUGUAAGUAGAAAUUUUUUUUCAAAAGUAAAAACAAUAUUUACUUUUUCACUGUUGCCUUGUUUCUUUAACCACUAAAAUUAUUAAUUCAAAAUUAUUUCGAAUGAAAGAUAUAUUACAUAACAAUAAUUCAUGAUAUACUUAUAUGAAGAACAAAAAUUAAAAAUAUUCAUCAUAAAGUUGGUGAAUAAAACCAAAGUGGUGUUUAAUUAGACACGUCAAAAAUAUAAAGAUGAUAAAUCGACUAAAUUCUUUUGCCUUCGAAGCUAACGUUGCGGGUUCGAUUCCUAUAUACUCGAUUGCAAUAACUUUAUGAUCAAUCAAUAAAAAUUAAUAAAUUCAAAAAGUUAUAAGCACGAUGAUAUAUGAAUCUUUUAUAAUUCAAAUAUGUACAUAGAAAUUGAAAUAAACUAUUUUGAAAUAGUAUAAUUAAAUUCAAAAUAUCAAAAACAAAAAAGAAGCAUAUAUGUUUCUUACAUAUUCAAGAAUUUCAAAUAAAACAAUAUAAUACUUUACUUAAAAUCAUCACAUAUUUCUAAUUAGAAAUUAAUAUUGAUAUAAAUAAUGUAAAUUUGUAAUUUAAAUCAUGACACAUGUCGCUAUCUAAAAUCAUUAGAAAUAUGAGAUAUUAUAAAUCUUAUAUAAUUUAAACUGAACGUAGAAACCAAAAUAAAUAAUUUAAAGAUACAACAGUUAAACUAAAAUAAAAAAAUUAUAAACACGAUGAUAUAUGAAUCUUUGAUAAUUUAAAUAUGAAAAGAAAAAUUGAAAUAAACAAUCUAACUAUACUACAAUCAUAAUUGAAGACAAACAAAAAAAAAACAGUUAAGUAAAAAAAUAUUACAAAAAGGAAAAAAAAAUUGAUCUCACAUAUUUCUAUUUGAAAAAAUAAACUCAAAUAAAUAAUAUGAGGAUUAUUUUAAUUAAAUCAUCACAUAUUUCUAAUUGGAAAAGAAAUUGAGAUAAAUAAUAUCAAAUUUUAAAUUAAUAUAUAAUAACAUAUGUUUCCUUUUUAAUAAAUUUGCCUGAUUUUUUUCUUGUUUAAUUGAAAUAUAAAAAACGUAUAAUUUCCUUAUUAUUAUCUUUUGACAGUUUUUUAAAAUUUUUUAUAGAAAUAUGAAUUAUUUACAAUUAUUAUUAUUCUUAUAAUUAUCUUUUACAUUUUUAAAAUUACUUAAAUUUAUAAUUACUUUCAAUUAUCUUUUUUUUUUUUAUUUUAAGAAGGAAAUUUUUGUUAUACACGUGUCAAAAUCUAAGAUCGAUAGAUUUGCCACGUGUCACGAUCAUAUGAGUUAUUAACUUUGAAAACCAUACUUUAUAUAAUAAGAUGUUGCAAUUAAUAUAUAUACACAGCCUAUAGAAAAAAAAAAAAAAAGAAACUAGAUCUAAAUUUCUUUAAUGGCUAUGUCCAAAACCAACGACAAUUUUAUGACAAUUUUCUAAUCAUUGUUUCUAUUUUUGGUUUUUGCGUAAUGUAUUGAUAACACUAUAUUCCGAAAUCCGAACUGGAAGAUUUUAAACACCUAACUAUUUCUACGUACGUGACACUGAUGCGAGCUUCGUGGCCAUUUAACGUGGACAAUUUGGAGACCGGAGACAAUGCAACUAUAUGUACUAAUAAUACUCUCUCUGUUUCACAAAGAGUGUCAUUUUAGAGUUUUGCACACAAAUUAAGAAAACAUUAAAUUUUUUGUUUUUUCUAAACAAAAACAUCAUUAACUAUAUACCUAAACAUAAUCUGCCCAAUAGUAAAACAAUCUGCAGAAUACUAAUAGUCAUAAAACAUAAAAAAUCAUUAAAUUUUGCAUUGAAAACCUAAAACGACACUCUUUGUGAAACAAAAAUAAAACCUAAAAACGACACUCUUUAUGAAACGGAGGGAGUAUAUUCUAAAUACUAUAAAUUUUAUACAGUAUAAUUUUAUUAAAUGUAUAUUUAUACCCAGUGGCGGAGGCAGCCAAUGUCUUGGCAGGGGUCAAUUUUUAUUCUAAAACUAAAAAGGGCGAUUGACAAAAAUAGUCCCAAAAAAGUUUUUUUUUUCCAAAAUUAGCACAAGAUUUCUAAAAUUCUACAAAUAGCACCCUAAACUUUAUUUAGAAUAGAAAAUAAGAGCAAACACUAACCUAAUAUUAAACUAAAUCAAAAUUUCUUUUAAAUGGUGGAAAUAUAUACCCUAAAUUAGAAUGAGGGAACCCAAAUAUAAUCCCACAAACCAAUGUUAAAAUGAAUCAAAAUCUCUUUUUAAAUGGUGGAAAUAUAUACCCUAAAUUGGAAUUAAUGAACCCAAGCAUAAUAACACAAAUUCAAUAUUAAAAUGAAUCAAUAUCUCUCUUUUAAAUGGUGGAAAUAUAUACCCUAAAUUGGAAAUAAAGAACCCAAAUAUAAUAUUUUAAAUUUAUUUCUAAUUUAUUUUGGUUGAAUAUUUUUUAUAUAAAAUUUGUUAUAUUAUUGGAAAGAAUAAACUAAUGAUAAUAAUUUUAGAACAAAAACUUAAUAGUUAAUCAACUAAUGCUAUUUUUGAAAGUUUAUGGAGUGUGUGCUAUAAUUGUCCAUAAAACUUGUUUUAGUGCUAUUUUGGAGAAUUUCUCUUUAAAGAAAGUAUAUUGCUGAUUUUAGAAUGAAAUUUAGUUUGAAAUGAAUGGAAAAACUAUCAAAAUUUCACUAUCGAGUAUCGAUUACUCUAUUUUUUUUCUUAACACAAAAGUCUCGUGAUGGCUUUGGCGAUUACUAAUCCCACUCAUAAGACCAUAUAUCCUUAUGAUCUUACUUCAAGCGACAACCCUGGUGCAAUAAUCUCUCAACCUCUUCUCAAUGGCUUAAACUACGAUGAGUGGUCUCUCAACUUGCGGAUGACGCUUUCUUCUUGGAAAAAGUUUGGUUUCCUUGAUGGAAGCAUAUCUAAACCCGCAGCUAAUGCCCCUGAACUUGAAGAUUGGACUGCAAACAAUCACUUGUUGGUUGGGUGGAUCAAACAAACAAUUGAGCCCAAGAUCCGGUCGACCAUCUCUACCCGUGAAGUAGCAAAGGAUUUAUGGGACAUCAUAAAGAAGCGGUUCUCUAUCAAGAGCGGGGCUCGUUUGCAGCAACUUCAAAACUCUUUGGCAAACUGCAAACAAAAUGGUUCAACAGUGGAUGAUUAUUUUGGUCGUCUUACUAAACUUUGGGACUGUAUAUCGGAUUGUAUGAAUUCCAAGAGAUGCAGCUGCGGCAAGUGCGAAUGUGACCUUAAUACGGCUCGUGACAAAGAGCUAGAGACACUUCGCAUUCAUGAUUUUCUCUCUGGUCUCGAUGAGUCAACUCACGGAGUGAUUCGGUCUCAGAUUUGUGCAAUCUCUCCUCUACCUGAUCUCGAUACGGUGUAUCAAACAAUCUCACAGAAUGAAACUAUUCGAUCUGCUGCCACAACUGAAGUCUCGGUGAUGGGAUUUGCCUCUCAAGUUUCUGGUCUAAGUUCCUCCUCCAAAUCAACCCCGGUGUUUACCCGAGAUGUGACUAAACGCAACUCUAACUUCAACGGCUUCUCUCGGCUUGGACCAGGUAACAAAGACCCAUCACGACAAUGUUCCGCGUGUGGAAGAACGGGACAUGAGGCUUCCUCAUGCUUUAAAGUUGUGGGCUAUUUGGAUUGGUGGGGUGAUAGACCACGUCCCAUGAUCUCGUCUCGGAGCUCACAAGGUGUCUCUAAUGGUCGUGGAGGUCGUGGUGCUUCUCCCCGAGCUAAUAUUACGCAGAUCGUGAAUGCUAAGACGUCUGCACUUGGAUCUUCGGAGAUCACUGAAAGUGAUCGACAAGGCUUGCUGGGACUCUCGGAUGAUCAAUGGAAGCUGGUUGAAAAAGUGAUGAAUGCGGGCAAGACAACAACACAAUUGAAUGGUAAGAAUAAUGAUGAUGAUUGGAUCUUAGAUACCGGAGCAACUCAUCAUAUGACAUGCCGUUUGAUCUCUUGACGGAUGUUCGUGACAUUGCUUCGGUGACGGUCUCGCUAGCAGCCGGCGAAUCUGUUGCUACCAAACAGGGGACCGUUAAAUUAACUUCCCAUUUAUCACUCCAUAAUGUUUACUUGGUUCCCCGGUUUCACAUUAAUUUGAUAUCUUUUGGCCAGCUUGUCACAGAAAAUUUUCUUGUGGGACAAGUCACUGAUAAAAUUCUACUUCUACAGGACCGCACUUCGAGGAUGCUGAUUGGGUUGGGUGAACGAGAGGGAGAGGGGCUGUACCGCUUUCGUCAACUUGGAACGGUGACAGCUUUGCAAACACGAGUUCAAGAUGAUUUGGUUCUGUGGCAUCACCGUAUGGGUCAUCCGUCUUCUCGUGUUACUGGAAUGCUUCCUAUUUUCUGUGGUGUCUCUAAUACUAAUACUGAUGUUUUAUUUAAAAGUUGUGACGUUUGUUUACGGUCCAAACAAACUCGACAUUCCUUUCCUGAUAGUUCUAAUAAUGCGAAAGAAGCUUUUGAUUUAAUUCAUAUUGAUUUAUGGGGUCCUUAUCGCAAUACGGCGUUUUGUGGUUCGCGUUACUUCUAGACCAUUGUGGAUGACCAUUCCCGAGCCGUUUGGCUUUAUCUCCUACGCGACAAGACUCAGGUCUCAAGCCAUAUUCGUGCUUUUCUCGCUUUAAUAGAGAGACAAUUCUCCAAGAAGGUGAAAUCUAUUCUCAGUGACAAUGGAAGUGAGUUUAUGUGCCUUACCAAAUUCUUCCACGAACAAGGUAUUGUUCAUGAGACUUCAUGUGUCCAUACUCCGCAGCAGAAUGGUCGAGUUGAGCGAAAACACCGUCACAUAUUGAAUGUUGCUCGAGCUUUGCGGUUUCAUGCCCGCCUUCCGAUUGAAUAUUGGGGCGAAUGCAUACUUACGGCGGGAUAUCUCAUUAAUCAGACACCAUCAUCUUUGCUUCAGGGCGUUACUCCGUUUGAAAAAUUAUAUGGCCACCCUCCAUCAUACACACAUCUCAGAGUAUUUGGAUGUCAAGCUUAUGCUCACAAUAUUGAUCACAAAGGUGAUAAGUUUAAUUCACGCAGUCGGCGGUGUAUCUUUCUCGGGUAUCCCUAUGGUAAAAAGGGUUGGAAGCUUUUUGAUCUAGAUCGUGAAGUAUUUUUUGUGUCUCGUGAUGUCACCUUCCACGAAACCGUAUUCCCAUUGAAUGAUCCUUCUCCUCCGGCGGCUGAGAUCGUGGUUACUCCUCCGACAUUGGGCACCAUUUUACAUGAUGAUACUGGUGACAUUCUUCCGCUACUUGAGAAUGUUGCCCAUGUCAUCGGUUCUGUUCCUUCUCCAGUUUCAUCAUCGGUUCCUUCACCUACACCGGAGGAAACUACGAAAACACCCGUGCCAGACACUGUUGUGGUUCCUGACAAACCAGUUGUGUCAGAUUCUACGACUACCGCCGAGUCACCAGCUCUUGUUCAAGGAAAAUGAGCAAAAAUACCAAAUGUCCGUCUACAUGACUAUGUGGUUGGUACAGUUACCGCUACACCUCCCUCUCUCUCUACUACGUCACCCUCUUCUCAGUCAUCUUUAGGUUCGCAUUUCCCUCUAUCUGACUAUAUUUCUUGUGACAAGUUUUCUGCCAAUCAUCGCAGCUAUUUGGUGGCUCUAACCACUAAUGUUGAGCCGAAAUCAUUUCAAGAAGCUAUGCAAUUUGAAGUAUGGAAAAAUGCGAUGGGCUCUGAGAUGGAUGAUUUACAACGAAAUCAUACAUGGGAUCUUGUAGAGCUUCCGCCAAAUAAAAAGGCGCUUGGGAGUAAGUGGGUGUUUACAAUUAAGCUUCGUUCGGAUGGUACGAUAGAACGAUAUAAAGCUCGUCUUGUUGUUCUUGGUAACCAUCAACAAGAAGGUAUUGACUAUACGGAAACAUUUUCUCCCGUUGCAAAGAUGACUACGGUUCGUAUGUUUCUUGACUUUGCAGCGAAAAAGAAUCAUGAAGUUCACCAAAUGGAUGUUCAUAACGCCUUUCUUCAUGGUGAUCUCCAUGAGGAGGUCUACAUGAAAAUACCACAGGGAUUCUCUUCUGCUGGUGAAACCCGCGUGUGUCGUCUCCGUAAGUCAUUGUAUGGUUUGAAACAAGCUCCUCGUUGCUGGUUUGCGAAGCUUGUUGAUACUCUUCUUAAGUAUGGUUUUACACAGGCUAAAUCCGACUAUUCAUUGUUCGUUUAUUCCAAGAAGGGCAUUUCUCUCCGGAUCUUAGUCUAUGUUGAUGAUUUGAUCAUUUCGGGUAAUUCUCCUGCGGCAAUCAAGUCUUUCAAGGACUACUUAUCUCUUUGAUUCCAUAUGAAAGACUUGGGGUUUCUAAAAUAUUUUUUGGGAUUAGAAGUAGCUCGAGCUCCUGCGGAAAUAUGCUACGGAAAUUGUGACUGAAGCCGGCCUUCUCGGAUGUCGACCUGCGGGCUCUCCCAUUGACCAGAAUCAUCGGCUUGAUAUUAUUGCGGGUCUGGAGCUUGCUGACCCUCAAACGUAUCGCCGUCUCGUUGGUCGUUUAAUCUACCUAGUUGCUACCCUACCAGACCUUACUUAUGCUGUCCAUGUUUUAUCUCAGUUUAUGCGAAAUCCAAGAGAAGAACAUUGGCUUGCUGCUUUGAAAGUGGUCCGUUAUCUCAAAGGAACACUCGGCCAAGGUGUCCUUCUUCAAGCUGAUUCUCCUUUCUUAUUAACAGGCUGGUGUGAUUCCGACUUCUCAGGUUGCAAAUUGACCCGACGCUCGCUUACGGGAUGGUUUGUUCAGCUUGGCUCAUCUCCUAUCUCAUGGAAAACAAAGAAGCAAGACGUCGUUUCUCAGUCAUCAGCUGAGGCUGAAUAUCGAGCCAUGAAUGCGGUUACAAGAGAGUUGAAAUGGCUCAAAGAACUACUUCAAGAUCUUGGUUUUGAUCAUAAAGAACCAAUGAUUAUUCGAUGUGAUAGUAAGCCAGCUAUUCACAUUAGUUCCAAUCCAGUUUUUCACGAACGCACCAAACACAUUGAACAAGAUUGCCACUUUGUUCGUGAUGAGAUCGUCAAGGGUGUUGUCAAUCCUUAUCAUGUUCCUACGGAAGACCAACUGGUGGAUAUUCUCACUAAAGCCGUAGGACGAAAAGAAUUUGAUGCAUUUCUCCUUAAGUUGGGCAUUCAAAAUCUCCAUGCUCCAACUUGAAGGGGGGGGGUAUUGACAUGGGCGGAGGCGGUGUAUUAUUAUGGGGGUCAGUUGACCCCUAUGAAUUUUGAAAAUUCUAAUACAUUUUAUUAAGAGUAAUUAUAAUGACCCCAAUGCAUUAUAGUUUUUGACCCCAUAUCAAACUAAUUUAACUACAUGGAAUAAAAAUUGUCAUUAAAACAACAAAAGAGCCAAAUAAGUUUGGUUCAUUAGAAUUUUAAACCAAAUUCUAAUGUAAUAAAAUUAAAAAUUCUUGACUUAUUUAAAAUAAAGUUCAACUAAUGAUCUAAUAUUAUAAUUAUUUAUAAAAAAAAACCCACAAUUUUUUUUUGCUUUUGUUAAUCUUUGUGGACCAUAACAAAAAAUUUUAAAUAUUAAUUUGAUUGAUUUUCAGAUUUUUUUUUUCCUUAAGUAUAGAUUAUUUCUAGACAAAACUAAUAGUAAAUUUUAUAUAAUAUAUUAUUUUCUAUUAAAAAAAUUUGACUCCUAUAACAAAAUUUUCUAGCUCCGCCACUGGGUAUUGAGGAUAUUUUCCUAAUCCCCUAGAUAUUACCAAAUCUCCAAUAUGUAUAUUUGCCUUUAUCUCUUUGUGUAUUAGGGCUACAUGUUUUCUAGGUUGUAUAAAUACAUGACCUUAAGGUACAAGGAAUACAAGCUGAUUUUAUCUCUCUAUACUCGUUUUAACACAUUCUUCUCAUACUCAUAGGUGUUUCGUUGUUUUACGGUUGCAAAAGAGCCACUACCACUCGCAAUAAAUAUAACAACAUUUUGUCAUUUCCAGACCUACUCAGCCUCGUGGUCCUCACUCGUCCCUUAGUUUAAGCGACGUGUCUAAAAGAAAACAAUCCUUGAUCGUCUUAAUCAUAUAAUUAAUAUCAUAGUUACGUAUAUCAUAUUUUGUGUAGAAUCGCGUUUGUUAUAUUGGAGUCAGACCAUGUAAAACAAAUGCAUAAUUCAAUUAAUAUAGCAGCUCGAAUUGAUACCAACUUAAUAAAAUAGUUAAUUAGACAAACUUUUUCUUGCAAUAUCAAUUGGAUUAAUAGUUUUUUUUUUUCUUUUUUUUUUUUUGCAAAAAAAUUGGAUUAAUACAUAUCUUUAUCUAAUAAAUCACAAGUAAAUUUUCAAGUAACUGCAACAUCCUCCAUAUGACACCUGGCUUAAAUUCCAAUUUUUUAUCUUUCAGAUUUUAAAACAAUUAAAUUUUAAUUAUCCUUAAAUAAAACAAAAAAUAAAUGUCGAGAAAACCUUUCUCCCACAACCGCAUCCCCUUUUUCUCCCACGAUUUCAAAAUCGAUCUCCACUUCUCAACAAUGGAACUACAAAAAGGUUUCAGAUCUCUCAAAAUCAAUAUUCCUUUCAUACUACUUCUCACCCUUAUUCCCCGAUUUCUGAGAUAAAAAAACCAAUGAUUUCUCAAUUUCUCAAUCAAUUGAACGGUGUUAUUCAUUAGAACGGUGUAUUUCUCAAUUUCUCCCUAUCUCUACUGAGCUUCCGUCGUUUGAUUUGAAUCAAAGGUAAGCUUUUCAACUAUUUUAGAUUAUGAACCAAAAACCAUCACUCUAAUCUUCUCCAACCUCAUCUCAAUCAAAGUAUACUCCGCUGGAGAAGUUUGGGCUAUCAUACAAAAAGCUUUCAGAUCUCUUCCUUUUCUGAUUCGUGUUUCCUCCAGCUCUAAUCGGGUAAAAUUUUUUAAUUUCUUACAUGUUCUGAUUUUAGGGUUCAUCAAUAGAAUCUCUCUUCUAACUGCAAGCACUACUUCUAUAUCAAAAUCUUUCAAUAUACAAAUUCUAUGUUCGAAUUUCUCAAUUUUGGUUUACUUUGUCAUCAUCGUUUUUAAUGCCCAUCCAAUUUUCUAUUUCAUGUGUUGUUGUGUUCUUAUCACUUGUACAAACUCUCAUGUAAAUUUUAAUGUAUUCACAGUCUUUACUAAUUUUAUAACAACUCUGUUACAAGUUUUACGUUUAGUUUUGAAACAGGGAAGAAUUAUUGAGCCGUCUCUCUUGAAAUUUCCAGCAUUGGACGAAUAUAAAACAAUAACCUCAAAUCUCUCUGGUUUGUUUUCUCUUCUCUGCAUGUCUUAGAUGAGUGGGUAUCUGAUUUUGUGUGCAUGAAACCUUUCUUUUACUUUUCACAAAACCUUUGUUUUCCUUACUUUUACUCAUCUUCCGUUCUCAGUUUCACUAUAACUUGAAGAUAUAUGGUUGUGUCAGGAUGGCAAAAACAUUGAAGGUGACGGUUUAGCGUCAGCCUUCGUGGUGCCUGUGUGAGGGAGUUCACCAAUAUGACGUUAACUUCCCAUGUGACGGAUCUUUACCCGCUAAGUUUGGUCCACCUAAACGCCGGUAUGAUAUCAUCAAAUCUUUGGCUAUGCUUUGGUGAAUUUAGAAGACGAGAGUUUGGAGAAUGAAGUUUGGAAUAUAAUUUCGUAUAGAAGCAACACAAAAAUGAAGUUUUGAAGUCUUGCAAUUCAAAAGAAAAGAAAAAAAAAACAAUCUGAAAGAUGGGUGCAUGAUGUGGAAUCAUCUUCCACGGUGAAGUGUGAAGAAUUUAAACGUGCAAUCAUCUAAUAUAUAUGUUCAAGAUCCUUUUGAGUAAGAUAUACAAUAUACAAAGGUAAAGGGCUUUUGUUUGUUCGAUCGCUCAUUUAUGUCUUACAAUACGUUUGCGUAUUUAUGUAAGACCCUUGGCAAUUUCAUAAUGCAAUGAAUGUUUCCUCAAAUUUUGUCGCUCAUAUGUGACGAUUUGGUAAUAUUAUGAUACAGCUUUGGAUGUAACGAUUUAAUCCUACUGUUUCACUUUCUCAAUCAAACCAAAAAUAUCAUUUAUAUCUAAUUUAAUUUCAUUCACUUAAAGUUAUGAAUUAAACAAACUUACGUACAAAUUAAGUUUAAUAAAACUAAAAUGUAUUUUUGAUAUUGGUCAUUGGUGUUAUACUUACACAUUUUGAAUGAAUAAAAUCUACAAAUUGGUGGUGUUCUCCCCAUGCAACGCACGGGCUAUAACUAGUAGUUUUAUCAAUUAAUAGUACAAAAGGUGUUACACCUUGAAAUCUCUCGAAGAGCUGGUGCUGCGGGAAUAGUAAGACGGAUCAGCGCUUGAUGGAUUCAGUGCAAACGAAGCCUUCCCAAGUUGAUGGGUGAUCAUCAUUACGUAUGAAUAAUUCUUCCAGCACAGGGCAGUGGUCAAUCAGCGAACUUGAACCCAUAAAAAAAACUGUCCGUACAGACACGCCCAAUGAUGGACCAUUAGCAGCUCUAAUAUUCGUUUCUUCCGAUGCCAAAGGCUGCUGUAAGAAGUACGAGUGUUUUGUCGAAGCAGUGGAAGUUUCUUUAGAUGCGGGUGCAAAAACUUGAGUACGACGACAUUAGCAUUUAUAAGUUGACACUAUUUCAACGACUCUGAUCAGAAGAAAUAUCAGAAUAUGAUUUUAUAACGUUUUAAAAAAGAUUUUGAUCUUUGUUCACAAAAAAAAAAAAAAAAAAGAUUUUGAUCUAUUCUCCAUGCUGUUAUUUAUACCUCUACAAUUAAUUAAGUAACAAAUAUCAAAUUUCCAAACAUCUCCAAUCAUUUUCUACUUUUGAAGCUAUUGUUUAUUAGAAAUUUCCAUUUGGGACUUAAUGAGUGGUACAGAGUACAGACCAUAUUUUUCUAUAUCUUUAGUAAUAAAUUUUAGUUAAAUCAAAUUUGGUUGUACAGAAUUCAGGUUUAGUUUUAAUGAUUUGGUAUAUCAUUCGAGUUAUAGAAACCUAUCACUGGGCUAAAUUAGUCGAUAGACCAAUAUACACCACAGUCCAUUAAAAUAAAUUUUCUUAUGCUUUAGGCCCCUUAAUAAUCUCUCGGCCCAUUUAAUUACCGAUCAUGAAAUGAUAGACGAGCAAGGAACAGAUAAGCUAUAACUACUCUUUAUAGUCAAAACGACUGAGCAAUCAAUACUAACAACAUAUGUCCAGAAAACGUGUUUAUGGACAUUGGAGAUUGGACAUAGCGGCGAUGCACUUAGGAAGGGACUGCUUCAAGCGUGACCACUCGCUGUCUAAGUUUGACUCUAUGCCAUAAGCAAGAAAAAAUAUUCAAUCUUAUUGAGCGAGAUGGACAGAGCCUAAAAAUUGUUAAACCUUAUGUUCCAAACAAAUUCCAAGACCUGUCCCUACUACGGAGUAUUAAAUAUCAAAAACACAGAACACAAAAAAUUAAGAAGAGUGGACAGUAGAAAAAAAAAUGUGUUUCUUUUGGGAUGAAAGCAUCUUAAAACUUUCUUUGCUGAUUUAGUUAGAUUCAAGAUGCUUCUUGACAAUGUUUAGUGCAGUAGUCUCCUCACCGUAAUCCUGUGACAACCAACACAGAACAGCAGAAAUUAAUCAACAGGACACAAGUCAAAGACUUUAUAUAUCUACAGGUUCCAAAGAUUCAUGGAUUAAGAGAAAGUAAAAAGAAUCAUUACCUUGACCACAAGACAUGAGCAUCCAACAACCUUCCUCGCAUUGCCCUCUGAAUCAAGCUUGCAAAGCUGCAGCCACAUUCAAGAUUAAGGGUAGAACGAGAGGAACCAAACAUUCUUUUAAGAGAGAAUUAACCAAGAUUACUUACACCAGCCCAUUCACCGAGUGUUUUGGCACUGGGAACCGUAAGCAAAUUGAUGUUGUGGUCAGUGCAAAGAGCUGUAACCAGCUUGACAUAAUCAGGUUGGUUGCAAUCUUCAGCCAAGACACAGAGCUGAGCAACACGCUUCUCAAUAAGCUUAGUGCUUUCAUGGAGACCACGAACAACACCACCAUAAGCACAAGAUUUCCUAAUUGUCAACUCCGCUGCAGUCAUUAAAUCCAUGUCCUCUGGGAUCACUGCUGCCUCAACAACCGGAGCAACAACAGCCGCAUCACUAAGAAGAUGAAAAAGUAUAAGACUUUACCAGUUCUUGAAUUAUACUUAAAUCAUAACAAUAAGCAUUAAGAAUUUCAAAGCACAAUAUCAAACAAUCUGCAUUUUUAUGUAAUAAAUGCCCAACUAGAAAAGUUUAAAGACAUAAAAUAAAUCCAAAUCCAAGCAUAACAUCUAUCUAUCAAAAACAAAAACUCAUACACCCUAACGUAUCAACUAUAUUUUGUCACUGAUUCAGUAGAUUAAAGAAUGUAGUAAACUCCAAGAAAGCUGCAUCGUAAGAGAAACUUACCCAGACAUAUUAAUUCUUUGAAUUGGCUUUACGAACGAAGAGAAGCAAAAGUCUGCCAAGAAAAUUAAGCAAAUCAGCCUCAAUAAGCACAUAAAUCAAAAUUAUAGGGCAGGAUUUGUAACAACGCAGCGAAAUCGAGGGGGGGAAGAAUUAAAGUUCGACAAUCGCAUACAUAACACAGAUCGAUUUCAAUUGACUAACCUUAGAGAGAGAGGCUGCAACGAAGAGUAAAAGACGAUAGCAAAAUUUGAGUGGUGAAUUUAUAUAGGUGGGCUAUAUUAGGGUUUUACUACGAACCUCGGAUUCGCCACUGAAUACGAUUUUACAGAUUUGUGAUCAACCUGGGCUUAUUUAAUGGGCCAUAUCUUCUUUUCCACAUUGUGUGUGAUAUUGUUGUAUUAGGUUUUGCAAAGAGUAGAAAAUGUAAAAAUAGGAAUCCCUUAUUAGCCCACAUAAACCUUUGAUAAUUAUUAAUAUUUUAAUACAUGAUGAAGAAGGGCGUAUAUUCUGAAACUAAUAGUUUUCAUAUAAAUUUUCUAUUUUUUUUUUUUCAUUAAUUGAGUGAUGUAAUCUGUAAUCAAAAAAGAGAGCUCAAUACCAAAACGGCAAAACCAAAUUUCAUAUAAGCACAUAAAUAACAUAAACUGUUUAAAACUUUGAACUAUAAAUUUGUAAUAUACUGUAAAUUUUAUUACUGAACAAACUGACCAUUUCUCAACACCGUACCUAAUCCAUACAGAACAUUUCUUCAUUGAACCAAUAAUUGCUAUGAUGUUGCUAAAAUAAAAUAUUAAAAAAUAUGAGGAAAGAUUCGUGUGUUCUAAAAACAAUAAAAAAAUAUUCGUUUAUUGACGGUUGAAAAAUCAGUUGAGAAAGCUCCACUUCCGGUGACACAUUUGCUAGAAGAUUAAGAAUUUACAUAGAAGUUUGACUUCACCGAAUAUAUAUAACAGUUCUUUUACUGUAAUCGAGAAAGUCGAUCCUUGGACCUUGGCAAAAAGAAUGUAGAGCAUUCUUGAUCUCACUAAUCAUUAAUGGAUGUACAUGGCUAAUGGGCUAAUCUCCACUGCUAAAGCAAGGCCAAGUGGGUUUAUUUUUAAGGAUCAACACAACUUAAUUGGCCUACGUAUUGGUUCCUAUUAUAUAUUUAGGCGUAUAGAUUGCGACCUCUAUGUAGGAUGGAGAAGAGAGGUUGUAUAUUUAAGGUAAUUCUUAAAAUUAUUUCGAACACAGUUUGUGGAACAGUACACAAAGCGACUGUAACAAAUUUCUUCACUCAUUGUUAUUCAAAGAGGGGGCAAAUGAUAGUAUAUUCAAUGAGAAUCGUCCAACACUGAAUAUGAAAAUGAAAAGCAAACUAUUUGAUGACUUCCGAUGAAACAAAUAUAAAGAUGAUACAUAAACUUACCAGUCGGUACUAUAAAGAGAGCUUCUCUCUCUCAUCACUUAAACUUGUCCAAGCCAUGCAAGUGCAUAUAUUUUAAUUUAAUGCAUAAUUUAGUUAUACUUACAAUCGGAGGCGGGCCGAUCAAACACUUGAUAUUCAGUCUCUGGUUCGGCAACUUUGAUGGGAUAUAUACCCAAUAAAAGAUCAAAAUUUGUAAGCCAUCUAAGAAUCCACUCUGCUCUGUUUUACUAUGCUUUUGUUACAUCCUUUCUUUGUCUCUGUAAAUAAUAAGAAAAACUAGUUUUUUUUCUUGCAAUGUAGUAUUAACCAUUGGUUAAUCAAAAAUAUGUGACAGCUCUCGAAACUUCUUUCUCUCUCUAGGCGAUUUCCAGAUUCCUCUUCACCGACUCUUUCAAAUCGGCGAUUUGCUUUCCGUCGACGGCGGAUCAGUCUUCCGAUUCAUCGGAUCUUCUCGUUCCUUUGCUAUGGCAGAUAAGGAUCUCUGGAUUUCACUCCAAAACCUCAACCUUGGACUAGAGCGAAGCCCUCUAAAGCUCUCAAUAACAAGAGCUUUGUCUGUGGACAGAAUCCCAACAUACCAUUAUCCCUCCUAGGCUGCAGCCUAAGCAAAUUAAUAACUCAGCGCCGAAAACAUUUCAGGAGGUACAGAUGCCUCUUGGAUAAAUCAAGAUAGUAAAAUUGGCGUUGGGUGGACGUUGCAUGACUCGCUUGGCCGAUAUCUACUCAAAGGAAGUGCCUCUUUAGAGCCUACUCAAUCAGUCCUUGAAGCAGAAGCUCUUGCGCUAAGGGAAGCCUUGAUUCAUCUGAAGCGGCUCAACUAUCAGAAUGUCACAUUUUGUGGUGACUCUCACUCUUUAUAUGGAUAUUUGGAAGGCAUUUGGCACAAGAAGCUUCAGACCAGGGGAUCAAACGAGAUUCAAACUUAUCUACAAGAUAUCUCAAAAUUGGCUCAUGACUCUUACCAAUUCCGAUACAUCAAUAGAGCAGCCAAUGUUUUAGCUGACACCUUAGCCAGAGAAGCACGCGACAAUGACUCUCCAUAUGUUAUCUCAUGGGUUCUAUAGUUGUAAGUCAUGAAUUGUACUUUAUAGCUGUGUAACCUCUGUUUCUUUAAUGAAAUAUAAGGUUGACGACAAAAAAAAAAAUAUCUAAAAUAUGUAAUUGAUCACCAGGAUAAAAAAAAAAAAUGAACAAAGUGAUUGGUUUUUGAAUAUUCAUGUUUCAACUUUGGAUAAAAUAUAAAACCUAAAGAAGAAGCGGAAGAAACUCUCUUAUGUGUUUUUCAGUUGUUUUUGAAAGAAACUUGAAAACUAAGUUAAGGAAAGAAUUGAGAGAGAGAAAGAGAGAUUGCAUAAAGUACAUGACACGAGAUGUAUCGAGUUCACCCCCAUAACCGGGCAAAGCUACAUCUCGGGAUAAUCAUCUCGGAAUCCACAUCUUUGAGUUUAUGGAGAUUGAUCUUAAUGUUUAUACAAAGCUAUGUUUAACAAUAAGAACUACGAAAAGAAAACAAGUUUGGUUCAUCAGACCCGAACCAAAUGAUCUCAUUAUGCACAUUAUAAAUCUAGCCAACCCCAUGUUCUCUCAUCCUACAUUGGAGAUCCAAACUGACAUCUAUUAACCGAAAACCAAGAAUAACCUCCUGCUCAAGUAGGCUUUUCCGUAAGAGUUUUGGUCCCUGAACUUGAUGACGGCGCUGCAUAUCAUCUCCGCAGCAUGUAGCUGCACAUACAUACAAGUCGUGUCCAGUUUCAAUACUUAAUUUGAUGGCAUUAUAAACUGUUUUGACCUACAUGAAACUUGGGUAAGCUGGGCGUUUGGAGAGACCAAGCCGAACUUCCAUGUCGUGGUGGUGGAAGUCAACUGGUUUGAGCAUCUUAAUACAGCUUUCUUCACCGAUCGAUCAAUCAACACUUCAAUUCUAAAGUUAACCAAAACAACGUUCAUGAAACGCAGCUUCGAUCAUCAUCUCUAGGUCUCUAGAUGAGAACCUAACAAAAGAAGAGAUUCAAGGAGAAGAUAACAAACUUUUACAAUUUUCAUCAAUGAAUCUGUAACUUGAUCUUCAGCUUCCUUUAAACGCAACAACUUCUGAUAAUUCAUCUCAGCCGUUGUUUCUUCUCUAAUCUUCACCGUCCACGUGUUUCUUCUUCUUUAACCUUCUUAUUCCUGUAUCAAAUCCUUCCCCUUCGAAGAACCUUGACCUCAAGGUUAGAAUGCAGGCAACUUCGUCUAGUUUUGAUUCCUCCUCACUUUGUGGACUGAUUCUUCUAGUUUUGAAGUUCCUCUGUUGUUUAUACUUAAAACUCCAAGUUUUGGAAAAUUUUCUCUGCUUCAUUGUGAUUCCUAUCAAUGCUCGCCCGACGCAGCUUUGAACCUCAAGAGCAUAUUCAAACAAGAAAUCUGAAUGAUUAUUUUCUGGAGGCCGUGGCGCUGACCCAUAAAGAAAAACAAGCAAGGUGUUGUGGAAACCCACAACUCUUAACUUCACGAAAUGUUCCAAUAUGUGUGCCUGGUGUAUAGGGUGUUCUGUCUCCACUCCUAGCCUUCUGUUAAAAACGCCCAUGCCAACAAAGAACAUGAACAUUUCAUCCAAAUAUACUAGAGGCCUCAGCUUUGUAUUCACUUUGCUAUGCCAACUCUCUGAUUCUUGUAUUUCUUUCUUGGAUCCUGCCAUGCCCAGAGACUGAUUGGUGCCUUGCAUUUUAUCGUUCCUCUCAACUAGAACAAUACAAGUACUCCGCUGUGUAAAGGCCAAACUCUUGUUUUUAAAAGCACAACAACUUGGGAACAAGGCAUGACUCCUCUGCAAUUUUUUGCCUACAACUAGCAGCUCAACAAAAAACAUUUCAAACAGAUAACAACAUUUCAGAACUCUAUCACAUUUGUAGUAGUUCUCUAACCAUGUCCAGUAAACCUGUGUAGCUAGUAAUCUCCCACGUUCCCAUACACGAUUAGGUCGUAUAACCAGCAACAACAUCUGCUUCUUAUACUCGUAACCAUAUAUGUCGAAUCCAUGCUUCCAUUCUUUUAGACCAACACUAGAGUUUAUAGUUAAACUACCAAGUUCCCUUUUCCAAGUCUGGGAGUCUGUUAAUGGUGAAUAAAGCAUCUUUGUACUUAAGUUUGUCCCAUAGAGCCUCUGUGAUAUCUUCACAAUUAUACCACACGUGUGAACAUGACUAAGCCAAUCCCACUGAUCUUGUAUACACGUUACCCCACCUGGCUUCCACACAUAGUUUGCUUGAGAAAAACUACGGAUAAAAUCACAGAUUAUUAAACUUGUCGGAGGUAACCUAGUCAUUUCAUUGUCAUGAACAAGCAUCUUAGGGAGAAUCAACAUAUCAACACCAUGACCGAGUCUUGACUCAAAUAAGUUUGUACCAGCAUGUGACUGCAACCUAUUGUUCAUUAUGUGGUCCGAGUCAGAAACCGGUACCUGAGGAUACAUAAACCUUCCACUUCGAUGUGACACUUGCUCUGGUCUCGAGUCCAUAACUUCACUCAUCAUAUCCUCCUCUAUUUGUGGCAUGAGUUUUUGCAAAUUUCGGUUCAUGAUUUUGAAUUUCCAGAACUUGAAUCUGAUAAGUGGCCAUAUGGGAAGUGUUUCAUGAUACACUUGAUCAUUUUCCCUGAAACAAUCAUCUUUGAGAAUGGACCAAGUUUUGGAAAACUCUUUCUUCUUCAUCAAAGCAACUUUAGCACUUGAACAAAUAUAUUUGUACAUGACAUCCUCUCUGUAAAUCAAUUUAUGUGCAGUUGGAUGCCGGUCACUCCUUGGUUUCCUUUGUUUGAAUUUGAACCUCCAAGAUUUAAACCAUUUAGUUUUCUUCUUUAUUCCAAGUCUUUCUUUAUGUUGAGACAUUUUACCAAACACCUGGUGUGCAUAGCAAAUUUUCUCGAUACUUAGCACUUUCGGACUCCUCUCAACAUCACCUUCAACCUCAAAUAUCUGAUCAAUGUUCUUUUGCACCCAUUCUUGCUCCAGAUUCUCGUCCAUCACCACAUAUUCUCGAUUUUGCACUACUUGCUUUACUUCCCUAAGUUCAAUAUUCUUUAAAAUCUCAGAAUUAUCAAUUGAUACCUGAAACUGUGGAGUUGAUUCUUCCUCCAAGAUUGCUCCAUGUACUAAGCCCAUCGAUUCCAUCUCAACCUCAAUUACUUCUUCUUCCUUAUCCUCCUCAGCUUUCAGUUCACUAUCCCUCUUAAGUGGAAGGAUCCCAACGUUAUCAAUGUUGCUUCUAGGAUGUGCAUACUCAUAAAAUUUUCCAAUUAAGAAACAUUGCUGAAUCGUUUGAGGCUGAAACAUUUGAACAUUCACUUGAGUAUCAAUUUGUAGACCAUCCAAAUAGACUCUAACCAAGUAAUCUUCUGGCAGAUUCACUCUUGUGCUAAGCAGCUCAAAAUUUUUGUGAUAUUCAACAAUACCGUUCGUCUCUUUUAACUGCUUUAGCUCAGCAAUUGGAUCAUCUAAAACUUUCUCAAAUCUAUUUAAUCGAAUCGCUUCUAGCAUCUCUGAAAACUUUCGAUCAAUUUCCUGAUUUUGUUUCGUCAUCAAAUCUUCGAACGCUUGAAUCCUUGAUACAAACGUGUCUUCCGUUUUUCUAACCACCACUUCCUUCAAUAACGAUUGCGAUCGAGUCUCCGCCAUGGUUUCACGAACCACCGUUUCCUUGAAUAACAUCUAAGAUCGUGUCUCCGCCAUUGAUACGAAUCCGAGGAUGACACAGCUCUGAUACCUUUAAUACAGCUUUCUUCACCGAUCGAUCAAUCAACACUUCAAUUCUAAAGUUAACCAAAACAACGUUCAUGAAACGCAGCUUCGAUCAUCAUCUCUAGGUCUCUAGAUGAGAACCUAACAAAAGAAGAGAUUCAAGGAGAAGAUAACAAACUUUUACAAUUUUCAUCAAUGAAUCUGUAACUUGAUCUUCAGCUUCCUUUAAACGCAACAACUUCUGAUAAUUCAUCUCAGCCGUUGUUUCUUCUCUAAUCUUCACCGUCCACGUGUUUCUUCUUCUUUAACCUUCUUAUUCCUGUAUCACAUCUCGGUCUUUAGCAGCUCAAAAAGAACCGUAAUGGCUGUGAAUAAGAGAAGUUAAGAACAUGAAAUAUCAUAAGAAUUAUUUGAUGUUCAUUCAUCACUUCUAUCUGACAAGACAGCUCGUAUUCAUCUUCUAUAAUCUUCAUACCCAGUGACGUUAACUAUGGCUGCAUUGCAUUGUUCACGAAUUCAAAAAUUCUUCUAGAGUUUUUGGUAGCUGAACAAGGAGAUCUCGCCGUGGAUCAUCUGCUGAGCUUGCGGCUGCACAAACAUACAAGUACUGUCCAGUUCCAGUACUUGAAAUCUUAAGUCCUUCAACGAAUUGCUCAUAUGUACAAUCGUUUGAGCCAUGGGAACACCUAAAGUAAAACCAAAGAUUUGUCAACAAUCAAACAAAGAUUUCUCAGCAAUCAAACCAAAGAUGCAAUUAUGUAUUAUUAGAGGCACUGCCUUGUACAAAACAUAGGUUUUAUAACAAUUCCUAUAAUCAACCCUUAGCCAAAACAAGAAAAAAAUAUUCAGACAGAAAAAAAGAAAGAAAGAAACUGACCUGCAUAAUACUUUAGUAAUACGAGAAGAGUCUUUUCCAUUAGCUAUUCUCUGAAGUAUAACAGAGCAAUUUAAACUCCAUGGAUUGUCCUUUGAGCCUUUCAUGUACACAUAACACCUCGUCUUGUCAUUAGCAGCUCCAAUGGGGAAGCUUAAUGGCUAAUAAGGGAAGUCGAAAACAUGAAACAUCAUACGAAAAUUCAUUCAAGAACAUAAAAACCUUGAAUCACCAAAACUGCAGUUAAUGUUUGUUAUCAAAAGAGACUCAGACAUCGAAAAUUCAGCCAUUGAAAAUCAAAUCAAAACCUCAGUUACUUGUGUUUGUUGAGAAAUUGAUCGUAAAUCAAAUUCAGAACACUCAAUGCUAUAUUGGUCAGGUCACAAACCCAUUAACAUAAAAACCAGUGGAAUCAUUUAUCCAGUAAUCUGAAUGAUCAUAUGAGCAAAGAAUUAUGUGUGUUAUACUUGUGUCAAGAGAAAAAAGUUGGCUCAAGGAAAAGGAGAAAACCGGGUCUGUGGGGAGUUCAAAAUCAAAUCAUGUGCUCAAGUGAGCUGAGAUAUGGAAUCUCGAAUAUUCGAGUAAGCGGUGCUAGAGAACAAUUAUUAAAGUUUACAAUAUUUUGUUAUGAUUAGAUUUCCUGGAGUUUAGGUAUAUGAAUGAUGAAUGUUAGCUUACUUGUAACUUUUAUGUUGUGAUUUGGUUAGACAUGUGCCCUAUAUAAUGAAGAGUUUUAGCAUGGAAUAAGAGUUUAGCAGUAGGGACUUGGUUACCUCGAAAUAACGAAGUUGGAGACUCCCAAAACAUGAGAAAUCUUCUUGAAGGUUUGGAUCAACUCUAGUUUGCACCCAAACAGAGAAAUAAGUAUCAGUCACACAAGACAUCCGAAUAUAAACAUAUCUAUUGCCCAUAGUUAACAUGAGAGCAUAAGGACUGAACCGAGAAGAAGUAAUGAGUAGAAAAGUAAAAUAAAAAUCUGAUUCAGCUCAAAGACAUCGCAUAUCGAGUCCAAUCUCUGAUCAUGCAACAUAUUAGUGACCGCGCCAAAGGUUGAAGCAUCUCCAGCAAACCUGCAACUCCUCGUUUCUUUGAUGAGUUGAGCUGAUGCCCAUCAAAAUAAUCCUGAAAAAAAGUUUCUUGAGCCAUAACAGAAUUGCCCACUUGAGAAAACCCUUGGAUAAGGGUAUUGUAACUUGUAAGUGACUAUAUAUGUCGCCAACCAAUCCUCCUCUUUGAGACAUCUAGCGGAAGAGUUCCAUACCUUGGUCUACUCUCUUAGCCUUACAAAAUACAUGUAUAAAGGUACUAUAAGUUAAACUACGAUUGGGAGACAGUCCUUCCUAAUCAUCAACUCAAACAUAUGCUUAGCCUCAACGCAAAUCAAAACUCUAAUUUGUCAAUAAAUUUGACACUCGUAAGGUGAUUCCAGAACAAUAGUCCAGUUAUAGCGAGAUAUCUCGUUCUUGACAAGACAGGAUGACUCUCUGGAAGCAAGCAAGUAGCACAUAAAAGGAAACUCCAUGAUAAGUUGUAAAGCAAAACUAGACGGACCUGUGCUGACAUAUUCAUGGAAACAGCAUUAUGCUUCUACAAGGCAUAUUCAUUCAUUGCGUAGUACCUGUGCAAGAGACCAUUUUUUCAAGUAUAUGUGAGCGCAUAUAUAUAUCGCCUCUUUUCCUCGUCGUAUGAUCUGUAGAAGCUGGGUCAAUGCAUCAUCACUAAAGACAUCAACCAACGAUUAUUAGCUACACGAAAGGAAACAAAAUUGAAAAUGUCAAACAGCAUAAAUCUGGUUUGGAAAUCCCAAAAACCAAACUAGUAACAAUGAUCGAUUGUGGUAAUCUGCAUCGAUGGAGACAAUUGAAGCACAUCUAACCCCAAUCGAAUCAAUGGAGGAGUAUAUGAAGUACAUGAAGACCCUUCAUCAUUCAUUCAUAUACUGCAGAUACUUCUCCAAUCUCCGAUUUCAAUUCAACCUAUCCUCAAGUACGAUUCUGAAUACCACUCUAGAGACUCACCGAGAGACUUGGGAUGAGAACAACCUUUCCGCAUUCUCUGAAAUCACUAAACCCAGUAAUAGACUGAUAACCGGGUUAAAUUGGUUUUGGGUAUGAAAAUGGAAAAUCACAUGUACUAGAGUAGACAAGGGAAAUUUGGUUUUCGCAACAAUUCGUCAAAUCCAAUUCCCGGUUUACGUGAAAAAAUAUCGGGAUUUCGUCUACGUGUCUGUUUAGUUUAUCACGAGGGAAGCACUAAAAUUCAAUAACGAACUCAGUCACCUAAAGCUUGGUUAUCAUGAGAAAAUUUGAUUUGUCACUAGAAAAUUCUUGCGAAAUUCCAACACCGGUUAGAUUGGGUUUUGUUUAUUAAAAAAGCAAAUCACAUGUAAACAAGGGAAUUUGGCUUUCUCAACAUUUCUUCACUCAAUUUCCCGGUCUUUCAUACAAUUCAAUUCAAUUCACUAUGGAAGGGAGUGAUUAUGGAGCAUUGAUUUAGGUAUAGCAAUCCUCAAAAAGGUCUAGAUACCCAUGUAAGACAUUUCUUUCUUUUCACUAUAUAUACAUGCAGUCAUGCACUAACAAAAAUGAGGAAGCAAAACUCUUGUUGGAUUUUCAUUUGAAUGUAGAUAUACAUAUCAACACCUUUAUACCCAGAAAUGGGUUUUUAACUUUCUCCUUACAUUAUAUCAAUUAAGAAAAAAAUAAAUGUAUAGUGCUGAUUAUCAUCAAUUAUGGCUCAGUUUCAAAGACAAUAUACAUCAGAGAACAAAUAUUUCAAGACACUAACAAACAGAUAUUUCGUGAAACACAUAACACCUCUCAUGGUCAUUAGCAGCUCAAAAAGGAACCGUAAUGGCUGUGAAUAAGAGAACUUAAGAACAUGAAAUAUCAUAAGAAGAUACAUGGCUGUUCCAAUGCCACAAUCAAACUUUCCUCUGCAAGUUGUAAACAGGCUAAGAACUUCACUUUCCUAGGCAUUUUCGUCUUAAAUGGAAUCCACAAUCAACAAUAAUGCAACAAAUGAUGCUGUUCUCACAAGAACUUGCCCAUCAAAGGCAAAAAAGAUCUAAAAAAGUGACUGACAAUGAACAUUUUCAAGCGUUAACAUUUCCUUUUAUUCCUCAUUAAAGAAGAAAAGACUUUCGUAUAGCAUAUAUAUAUAUACUAGGGGAGGUCCCCGCGCCCAGCGCGGGGUUGUAUGUUGAUUAAGACCAGAAUUAAUAAUUAAUAUUUAGGGUUAUCAAGUUAGGGAUAUUUAUUGAAUUAAUUUUGUCAAGAGUCUAAUUUUUAUAACGACAUUAAUAUAGAAUUAUGGUAAAACGCUAUAACUUUUGAUAUAUAUUAUUAGUAAUCAACAAUUAAUAGUGUUUUUGAAUCACAAACAAUUAUUAGUGUUUAUAUCUUGAUAUAUAUAAUAGAAUUAAAUAUAAAAAAUCUAUAUAUUUAAACCAACAAUAUAUUAGCAACGCCCCGACCGCCACUGUCCAUGGGUUCCCACGUCCAGUCUCGGUCUUUAGGCCCAUCUUCUUUGUUUUGUCGUACUCUUGAUUUUAUGACAUAUUCAUGCUUACUCGUUUCUUUCAUAUUAGCAACGCCCCGAUCGCCACUGUCCGUGGGCUCCCCACGUCCAGUUUCGGUCUUUAGGCCCAUCUUCUUUGUUUUGUCGUACUCUUGAUUUUAUGACAUAUUCAUGCUUACUCGUUUGUUUCAUAUUUGUAAUGCCACGACCGCCACUGUCUGUGGGUUCCCACGUCCAGUUUCGUUCUUUGAGCACAUCUUCUUGGUUUUGUAGUACUCUUGGUUUUAUGACAUAUUCACGCUUCCUCGUUUCUUUCAUAUUUGUAACGCUCCGACCGCCACUGUCUGUGGGUUCCCCACGUCCAGUUUCGGACUUUAAUUUGGGCCCAUCUUCCUGGUUUUUGUUGUAUUCUUGAUUUUAUGACAUAUUCAUGCUUUUAGAUUGUAUGUCACUAGAGUUUUUCGUAGUUGGAAACAAAUAAUUGAAAAAUAUAAUCUCUUACCAUAUCUCUUACCUAUCAAGUAAGUCAUCUUGCUCUUUGAAGUAGUUAUGUACGUAAAAUUUCAAUGGUAUAGAAACAGGCAUCUCUUUUGUAUAUAUCGUGUCAUAUUUAUCGUCCCUAUUGUAGUAUCUUUGUCUCUACCUUCGCCAUUGGUCGCUGCGUAACCCUUCAGUUGAUCUCUUGUUUAUAAAACCCAUAUAAAAAGUUGUAAGAGAAAUAUCAUUUUCUUAACUGUAUCGUAUAUGUAUUUGUAGUAUAUUGAUCUGAGAUUGCAAAGAUGUAUGCCUAUCAAGAAGCUCUUAGCAAAGUAAACACUGAAGAUAGGUACUAAAAAUGAGAGGAUUACAGAGAGCAAGUAUCUAUCCCUUAGAAACCACUAUGUGCAACUGAGAAUAAUUCAUAUAUGUACAUACAUACACAUGUAUACAACGUAUUGAAGCUUUUAAAUUUAAAUAUCGAAUGCUACAAAACUGGAAAAUUGCUUGUGGAAAAAGCAAUAUGAACAUGGCCACAUAUAUAACAAAUAACCGAUUAUGCUUGUCGUAGAUCAUUCUCUUUCAAACCAAAAGUUUUACCUAAACAACAUAUCAAGUGACUCACAAGAGAUACAUAAGAGCCAUAUCCUAAAAAUAUCCGGCAAAGCAAAAACGCUCCAGGUUCGAGAAGGAAGUCAUUGGAAAAUUUGAGUAUAUACCAAACUGGAGAGUAAUUCGGCUACAAAGAGAGAUGUGUUAGCUUUGAAGAAAAAGCUAUGUGAUGUUCUACCUUUUAUUUAUGAAUUUUAUGCUAUGAAUAUAUGUUUUUGUUAGGGUUCAACUUCAGUCUCCGGAUUAGAGACUUAUAUUCAUCCGACAAACAAUUCGAUGUCACAAUCAACGCUACAAAAUUGGUGGGUUCUCUCUAUUAACAAACAAAAAAAAAUUCUGGGAUAUAUAUAUUUUUUUUGUUUUGUUAGAUCCAUACGACGAAGAACAUGACGAAGAACACCAAAAAUUCUCAUCAAUCCGGUACGUUUGAUCUUAUUUUUAUUAGUUUAACAAUUACGGUUAUGUCCAAAUCUGAAAUAACCAUGGCUCCAGACUCCUUCACACCAUGGCCACAUAUCACCGGAGUGGAGACGAUUUCAAAUUCGGAGCUUCUCUUCGCAUAUAAAAUCAUACAUAUGGUCUCUUUGUUUUGGGUUCCCUCUACAAUAAUUAGUACAUAUUUCAAAACUGAGCUACAAAAGAGCACAUUGGAUUUUGGUAAACAUCAAGAUUGCUUCCUACCUUCCAAGAAACAUGAUAGACUAAUUCACAUCCAAGACCAAACAUUAGCCACAUAAAGCCUGAAUCAAAUUAAACGAUCUUAGGAUGCUCUUCAUAAUCCGUAAGUUAAAGAGACUUGCAUUAAUAUUGCAAAUUAGACUCUAGAGGUGCACAAUGGUUAAUCAGAGUGUAUCAAAGACGACGAAUAAAGCAUGAAUUAGAAUAUCAGCAGAGGAAGCACACAAAUAUUCAAUAAACGUAAUCAAUCACUGAGAAUAGCAUGGACCCAACUUUUGAAAGAUUCAUAAAAAAGGAAGAUUUUUCCUAUGCAACAAUAUUCAAACAAUGAGAAGAUCAAUGAUUGAUGACUAACCAUACAACCGAAGCAAAGCCAUAAACAGAAACGAAAGUACUAAAGAGCCACAACAGCAGUGAUACGACAUUUGUUUCCUCGCACUGGGAACAAUGACGUGCUUCCAUAAAUCCAAUCUAGUUUUUAUGGAAAACAAACCUGCAUUCAUAAUAAACACUACUAUUAAUUAUUAUUUUUUAUGCAAAAAUUAAAUGGCAGUAUAAAAAAUUCAAUAGUUAGUGCCGAAAAAAAAAGCAAGGAUUAGUUAUGAUAUCAAAUCAAAAUUAAAUAUCAAGCAAGGUAUUUACAUAAAAUUAAGGCAGUGGAGGAUCCAAGAAUUUUUUAUAUGACAAUAUCUACAACUAAACAAAGAAAAUUUAUAUAUUUUUAAAACAGAAUCAUUAUUUGUUUUUUGGUAAGAUUAAAACCGAAUCAUUAUCAUAUUAGUAAAAUUAUCAUUUAUUUAUUAUUAUCCACGUUAAUUUAAAAGUUUAAGAGAAUAUCUGCUUUUUUCUCAUAAAAGGAUGGGAUAAUAACAUAACUCUUUUAGAUUUAUAACUAUAUUUGACAUUAUCAUAUUAAAUCUAUUAAGAUAAAUAUAUUUCUUUUUGAAAAAUAUAAAUAAAAUGAUAAUAUAAUUAUUAUAGAUUUACAAUUAUAUUAUUAUCCAUGUCAAAAUUUUAAAACAUUUUACUUUUUUCUCACAUAGGAAGAUAGAACAAUAACGUAACAGUUUAAGAUUUACAACAUAAAAAUAAUAUCAGAAUUGGAACGCCAAAUCAUAAUCAACACAAUUAACACAACUCUAAUGGGAAAUUAGAGUUAUAUUGUGAUUAAAAUACUAAACAAACAAAACUAACCGAAACAAAACAAAAGUCUUCCUUUCAAAAUCAUUAACGUGACGGAUUGCUGACUGAUUAAGUUGAAGUUUUAGGCAUUUAAAGAUCUAGAAAGAUGAUUAAGGUUAAAAAUUUUUAUUUAUUUUAAACAACGUUUGAAUGUUGACAAAAAAAGAAGAAGAGAGUGUUGGGACCAUCGGGAGAGACAACGUUGAGCAGCUGCGAAAGAAGCCAACGUUGUCUAUUAUGUUCCUCACAGUGUUUGAUUUGACUUUUGAUGACAUUACACUCCUGUCCACUUGUUGUCUCGAAAGUUCAUGCAAUGGAAAAUUAUUAAACAAAACAAUUUACUUUUAUGUAUAAAUCCUAGGGAAGAACCGAUCAAGCUAAGAUCAAUGGUUGUGGUUUUAGUACCGUAUACUUCUCAAAUAUACCCGUUGAAUAACGGAAAUCCGCAAGACGGGGAGGAGACGAAGUCAACCUAGCUGGCAAAGGAGCUAACCCAGCUCCUUUGGUCUUAUUUAUGGUCAUAUGUAUUUAGCAAAAUAUGGUAUACAAAUCGAACUAAUCAACAACAAAACCUGGUUUUAAAUUGUUGUAUAUUUCUCAAAAGUCAAAACCCAUAAUAACCAAUGGAACAGAAGAAGCUAAUGCAGAGCAUACUUACGCUUGGAGUAAAGAGUGAUGCAAGCUUCCAUUGGCACACCCGAAAACGCAUCAGAGCAUGGAAAGAAACCUAAAAACCAAUAAAUUAAACAAUAAUUAAAUCUUAGUGCAUGGAAAACGAAUCCUAUACAUACCAAAGUCCGAAUCUCAGUGCCUUAGAAUGACCUCGAUACCAAAAACUUUAAGUUACUACUUCAAUAUAUGUAAUAUUUUAGUUUGGGGAGAGAGAUUGGCAACGAAGAGUAAUUCCUGAAUUUAACAGCCAAGUUUGUUAUCCCUAAUCUAAAGAGAGGAAUACUUAAAUUGUAUUAACGACAAAAAUUAGCCUCCUCUGAAGAUUCAUCCCUGAAAUAAGUCAUCUUUCUGACUUUGUGGCAACUGUGUUAUCAAAAGUUGAGUGUUUCUUCUGAGAAAAGACAUAUUUGAAAAUAAUAAGAACAUGUACCUCAACAAAAUCGGGAGGUACCUCAUCUUUUUACAACAAAAAGAAACAUACCAAACCAUCGAUGAUUACCUUCUCAAAAGUUGAAACCAAACUUUUUGAUUAUAAAAAUUGAUUAGUGGUGAAAAUAGUGAAACCAUAAAUACAAAAAAAAAAAAAAAAUCAAAUUUGUACAUAUAAACUAUAAGAUCACCUGUUUAUUCAUUGAAUUAGGUCCAAAUUUUCUAUACACCAGUUCACAUCGUCCCCUCCAUACAUCCACCCUACAAUAAAAAGAAAAAGAAAAAUUAGGUAGAAGCAAAAAAAAGUUUGAAAAAAAAAGAACAAAAAAACAAGGGUUAGUUAUGAUCUGAAAUUGAAUACCAUGAGCAAGGUAUUUAUAUUGAAUAGGAGGCGGUGCAUGAUUUAGAGUUUCUAAAUUUUUCGACGAUAAAUACAAAAAAAGAAAAGAAAGACAUGCAUGGUAUCCAUAUGCGUCAUGUCACGCUGAUCCAUAUUUUUUUCCAAAACUCGAUCUAAUUGCUAUUAUGUGCAAAAAUCACCGCCGUUCACGUUCAUGUUCACGUUAGCACUCCAUACCUAAUUCACAUGUAAACCUCUCUGCCUAUCUCUGACUUCAGCUCUCUCAUCUUCGAGUCUCCCCAAGAAAGUUUUGACACCACACCAACAUUUCAUUCGUCAAAAUUAAAUCGAGUUUGCACAAGGUUACAACCGAUUAAUAGGUGGUCUUCUACCUUCUAUUUACGAUUUUAUGCUAUGAAUAUAUGUUUUUGUCAGGGUUCAAGUCAAUCUCCAGAUUAGAGACUUAUAAUCAUCCGACGAACAAUACGAUGGCGUGAUAACCGUUUCUAAAUUGGUGGGUUCUCUUUCAUUGAUCUACAUAUUAUUUUUUUUGACGACAAACACGACGAUCAUACCAAAAAUUUCAUCUAUUCCGGUACGUUUGAUCUUUAUUUUAAUUAGUUUAACAAUUAAUUGCCGUUUACGAUUAAUUUCGGUUAUCUAAAUCUUAUUAAUUUGAGUAAGGUUAGAAUAGUAUUCUUUUAUGUUUAUAUUAAUGCUCCGAUUAAUAAUUUUCGGAUAUUUGACAUUAUCAUCUUAAAUAUAUCAAUAUUAUAAUAAAUAUUUUCCUUUUCCGAUUUUUUUUUUGGUAUAAUUCCUUUUCCGAUAAAUUAUGAAACAGAUCUGUUUCCCCAAAAGGUAAAAAAGAAAAAAAAAAAAAAAAAAAAAAAAAAAAAAAAAAAAAACCAUCAACCGUCUCCAUUCACACGUUUCUUCAUUAUGAUCACGAAUUCACGUUCAUGGAAGCUUCAUCAUACAUUAACACUUACAAGUUUCUUCGUCGAGUUUUUAUCCAAGGUUUCUUCGUCAACUCUGUAUCCAAGGUAAUAAAUAUUUGUUCUUUUCAUUGGUUAGAAUUAUAGGGUGCAGGAUAGUAUUGACGUCUUAAAGACAUAACAUGGGCAAGAUACUAUGAGAAGCUUGACUAUUCUGCUUCGACAGAUCAACAAGUGAAAUUCUAUCACUAAAUUAUUAGAUCUCUGUUAUUGCUAUGAAUAUAUGCUUUAUGUUAGGAUUUCAAGUUUUGCCUUCGUUUAGAAGAAUUAUAUUCACACGACGAAGAACACGAUGAAUUCAAUUAAAGCUUCCUAACUGGUACUUCGUUGUUCCUUUUUUUUUUUGGUUAAUUAUCAUGUUUAUUGUUUCCAAAAUUAUUUUUCCUGGUUAAUUCCGAAAUUCAAUUUAAUUUUUCCAAAAUUAAUUAGAUUUCAUUAAGGGUAAUUAAGUAAUUACGUAAAAUCAAUGACUCAACAAGAGCCGAGAGUCCGACACGUCAGCAAAAACACUUCUCAAAUAUUAUUAUAUAUAGAUAUAUAUCAAGACACUUUAACCACUGAACUCAUCAGGUUAUCAACUUGCCUUCCAUCCAAAAAGAACUUGGCAGCUUUACAGGAUGCUGUUUUCGACUCCUCCACACGAGCCGUCCUUUUCCUUUUUUCCUGAUUAUCAGUCAUAUUAUCAAUGGCUACUUUGCUGAGCUCUAUAAAUUCUUUUAGAGCAUGGGUAAAUCCAGUCAACUCCGCAGACAACUCAUCCUGGAGUUGACGCUCGGAUGAUGCUUCAACUUCAGAAGACGGCUGAGAUUGAGAUGAACCCUCAGAAGAUACGUUCACAACAGUCGCGUCCUUAGUAGCAGAUGUAGUAGUAGAUGCAGAUGCGUUCACAGUAGUAAAUGCACCCUCGACAGAUGGGUUCUCAACAGAUGGGUUCUUAACAACAGAUGCAGAUGCGUUCUCAGAAGUAGAUGCACCCUCAACAACAGAUGCAAAUGCACCCUCAGCAGGUGCGUCCUUAGUAGCAGAUGCAGAUGCGUUCACAGCAGCAGAUGCAGAUGCGGUCUCAGGAGCAGAUGUAGAUGCGUUCUCAGCAGCAUAUGCAGAUCCGGAAGCAAAUCCCCGUUUAGAUGCUUGUUUACUGCUUCUCUUCUCUCCGGUAUAGUGGCUGUGAAAGAUCUUGAUACAUGGAGAUUCAGGAAUUUGCGACCAAUCUAAUUUUUCCAGCUUUACAAUUGCAUUGGGCUGAACUAUCUUUUUUCCCUGCUUGACCUUUGCAGCUGCUUCAGAAGACGGCUGAGAUUGAGAUGCACCCUCAACAGAUGGGUUCUCAACAGAUGGGUUCUCAGUAGUAGAUGCGUUCUCAGUAGUAGAUGCACCCUCAACUCGUGCGUCCUCAGUAGCUGAUGCAGACGCAGAUGCGUUCUCAGUAGUAGAUGCACGCUCAGCUGGUGUGUCCUCAGUAGUAGAUGCACGCUCAGCUGGUGUGUCCUCAGUAGUAGAUGCACGCUCAGCUGGUGCGUCCUCAGUAGCAGAUGCAGACGCAGAUGCGUUCUCAGUAGUAGAUGCACGCUCAGCUGGUGUGUCCUCAGUAGUAGAUGCACGCUCAGCUGGUGUGUCCUCAGUAGUAGAUGCACGCUCAGCUGGUGUGUCCUCAGUAGUAGAUGCACGCUCAGCUGGUGUGUCCUCAGUAGUAGAUGCACGCUCAGCUGGUGUGUCCUCAGUAGUAGAUGCACGCUCAGCUGGUGUGUCCUCAGUAGCAGAUGCAGAUGUGUCCUCAGUAGCAGAUGCAGAUGCGUUCUCAGUAGUAGAUGCACCCUCAGCUGGUGCGUCCUCAGUAGCAGAUGCAGAUGCGUUCGCAGUAGUAGAUGCACCCUCAAAAGCAGAUGCAAAUGCACCCUCAGCUGGUGCGUCCUCAGUAGCAGAUGCAGAUGCGUUAUUAGUAGUAGAUGCACCCACAACAACAGAUGCAGAUGCACCCUCAGCUGGUACGUCCUCACCCUCAGCAGGUAAGUUCUCAGUAGCAGAUGCAGGUGCAUCCCCAGCAAGUGCUUCAAAGUAUGCUUUAUAUGCCUUCUUUGCCUCGAGUUUUUUCACAAAAGAUAUAUAUUGGAGCUGACUCUUUCCCUCUAACCGUGCAAGUUCGUAAGGUUUCAUAUCAUUCUUGUAGAGUUUUUUUCACACUCUCUUCAAGGGGGAAGUAGAAAAGGCUUGAUUCUGCUGAGGACUGCUGCAGUUGAGAAUCCACCUCAGGCUUGUCUUUCACCAUCGUUCACAGUAGUAGAAUAUGAGAUUCCUUGUCGAUCUUUAGAGCAAAAAAAAAACAAGAGAAAUUUUCCCAUCAAAAUCACUAUACCAGAGAACUAUCAAUUUAACAACAACAACAACAACAACAAGAGACUUGUCUGCUGUUUCUACCUAAGAGAUUUAAAGAUGUUGAAUUUUCUAUGAGUUUCUUGAUAAAUUACCUUUGCUCGGUGAACUUCUUCUUCUUGCUUCAGAGAAUAUAAAAACCAACCCUACAUGAGAAAUUAAGAGAAAAAUCAGAGGAACUUAGACUAUCAAAAUCACUAUACCAGAGAACUAUCAAUUUAACAACAACAACAACAACAACAACAAGAGACUUGUCUGCUGUUUCUACCUAAGAGAUUUAAAGAUGUUGAAUUUUCUAUGAGUUUCUUGAUAAAUUACCUUUUGCUCGGUGAACUUCUUCUUCUUGCUUCAGAGAAUAUAAAAACCAACCCUACAUGAGAAAUUAAGAGAAAAAUCAGAGGAACUUAGACUAUCAGGAAAAAAAUUUCUCCGGGAAAAUAAAAUUUUCUCGGGAAAGUUACAAAACAGAAGCGAGAAUGAGAAAAUAGAGAGAAGCAAUAAAAAUUAUUUUUUUUCCUUCCGUGAACUUCUUCUUCUUCUUGCUUCAGAAAAGAUCAAAUCAUAGAAGAAGAGGAACUUAUACUACAGAAAACAAAAUUCUCAGGAAAAUGAAUUUUUUCUCGGAAAAUCUUGUAACAGAAGCGAUCAUAAGAAUUUACCUUGUUCUUGGUUCCGUGAACUUCUUCUUCUUGCUUCCAAAAAUAUCAAAUCAACACUACAUGUUGAGAGUUAAAAGAGAAAUUAAGAGAAGAAGAAGAGGAAUUCUCCGGGAAAGUGAAUUUUUCUCGGGAAAAGAAGAGAAACUCAAGGAAGAAAAUCAGAGAAAAAAAUCAAAGAAGAGAUUAUGAGGAAGAAGAACUUAGGCGAGACUCAAGUAAGAGAAAACGGACUGAAUUAGAGAGAAGAGAGAAGACGAAAGAUUCUCGGAAAAUCUUGUAACAGAAGAUGAAAAAUUACCUUGUUCUUGCUUCCGUGAACUUCUUCUUCUUGCUUCCGAAAAGAUCAAAUCAACCCUACAUAUUGAGAGGGAAGAGAGAUUAAGAGGAGAAGAAGAUGAAUUCUCCGGGAAAAUGAAAGAUUCUCGGAAAAUCUUGUAACAGAAGAUGAAAAUUUACCUUGUUCUUGGUUCCGUGAACUUCUUCUUGCUUCUGAAAUGAUCAAAUCAACACUACAUGUUGAGAGGAAAGAGAAAUUAAGAGAAGAAGAAGAGGAAUUCUCCGGGAAAAUGAAAUUUUCUCGAGAAAAAAGAGAGGAGAAACUCAAGGCAGAAAAUCAGAGAAAAAAACAAAAGAAGAGAUUAUGAGGAAGAAGAAGUUACGCGAGACUCAAGUAAGAGAAAACGCACUGAAUGAGAGAGAAGAGAGAUACGAAUUUUCCCUCCAUUGAAUGAGAGCGAAUGAGUCACUGACACCUGUCAGCUCUCUUGUGCGGCCUGUUUUGAAGUAUCCGGAUCCGGAUCCGAACACAUAUCCGUUAAAAACCCGGAUAUCCGGAUCCAAACCACACCCAAAGUUGACAAAACCGAAAUCUCCCAAUCUCCGGCAAAUACUCGGAAAGCUGAUGAAGCAUCCACAGUUGCGAAAUCCAUCGUGCUGUGGUGAUGAUGAGCGGAGAUAUGGCGGUGACAUUCUAGCUGGUUCGCUGGGGAAGAAGACUGAUAGCCUCGCGUGAACUCUCCGCCGGAGUGCUUUUUUUUUUUUUUUGAGCAAAAGAAAUCGAAGAAGCUUAACCUAAUUUUUGUCCCAACUUUGAUUUUGUGAGAUUCAUAUGUAUUGGGCCAAGUCAAACAUCAAGGCCCAAACUGUUAAACCCAGCUUCAUCUUGAAACUGUUACACAGAUCCCGUGUUUCCCAAAGUUAGUAGAACUACAUUGACUUGCCUUUGAUCUUUUAGACAACAUUCUUCAAUGUUAAUUUAAUCAGAAAGAACCAAAAAAAAAAAACAACCGUAUUUUUCUAAUGUUUGAACAUAAUUAAGAAAUUUCACAUUAGAAAAACUUUUUAAACUGAGAAGGAAAAAGUAUCAGUUUGUAACCAAUAGCGAAAGCGGAACAUAACUACUUAAAGCCAAAGACUAACCCAACUCGAAUUCUUAUAUUUUUUGGGCCAAUUAGAUGGCUGUAGUAUUUUUGUCUGAGUCAGUUAGUAUCUCUUCUUUAUUCUACACAUACUGUUUUUUGACUUUUUUGCCCCUGGCUAUAGGCCCCAUGAAACGAAGGUUUUUGCUGAUGACGUCAGGAGAGAUGGAGAGACAAGUAUUUUCAUUCGUUCACCUUUUUCAUUUUAUAAAAUAUAUAUAUUUUAAAAUUUGAAUUAUAACUAUUACGUUGCUUACAAAAAAUUUACGCACCACGAUUUUAUAUUACAAGUAUAUGCAAAAAAAUUGUGCAUAUGAUAUAUCAAAAUUAUAUAAACCAGAUAUCAAAAUAAGAUUUUUAUUUAAAUAUCAACAUUAUAUAAACCAGUGAUUUCUCAUAGGUCUACAAGGAACACGUUAAAUUACGUCGUUUAAUAUUGAACAUAACUUCGGUUAUAAAAUGACUUAACACUUAUACCGUCAGUUCAUAGACCGACUUAAUAUUCUAUGACGCUAAAAUUCUUUAACUUUAACGUCAUUUACGCAGAAGUGAAUAAAAGUCUUUAAGCAUAAGAAAAUAAAACCAUACAAACAUUUUCUGCUAGAUUCAUGUAAUAAACCUUUCUUUAAUGGGAUCCCCACAUGAUUCAUCAACAAAUAUUUAAUUUUUCGAUAGAAGAAAACACAAAUAUUGAUAACAAAUAUUUUGGUCGGUUUAGUAAUGCUUCUAAUUCAAAAGUUUACGUCGUUUUACGAAAUGACUUUGGUUAACUGACGUAAUCCAGCGUGUUUUUCGUAGUGGUGUCAGGUUACCAUGUCUACGUAGAAGGGAAAGAUCUGGCCACAUAUAUCUUGAGAAAGUCUUGCUUAUUAAAGACAGAAACAAUAUCGAUCGGACCAGGGUUGGAUCAACAAAAGAAGCUUCAGAUGGAGACAGAGGUGAAAUUUUCUUUCCGUAGUUCACCCACAUGUAACCUCGUAGUCAAUGAACAUUGGAAUUGUUAAAUUUGAUAGACAUCUUUGGAUUUGAUCUAUUAAAGUUUUUGUUGCAUUUGAUUUUGAUGAUUACAUAGCUGUUUUAAGUGUUGACGAGGAAUUACAUAUUUAGCUAAACGUGGAAGUUGCUUUUGAAAUGAAAACUGCAUUUUAACAACAUCUAUGAAAACAACGAUGAGUCUAUACAAACCUCACGACCCAUCCAAAUCCAUCUUAAUGAUCUUACAACUACAAAACAAUCAUCACAUACACGUCACCCCAACUUAGAAAAAAAAAGCAAACACCAAUCAGAAAAAAUAAACACAGCUAAGCUCUAACUUACAGUUUGGGACGAGAACGAAUCACUUUUAAGCUCGUUGUGACCUUCUUUGUCCUCUUGCCACAACCAUUUUGGACAAAACCUCUUCAAGAUACUCACAACGGUCUCUAUGGUGUUCGAUCCAUACACAUAACUGUCUUAUCGCUUCUCUCUUCUCUUCUCCUAAUCCCAACAAUGUCUCCUUCAACUUCUCCUUCUCUUUCUCCUCUUCUCUCACUUGACCUUCAAGCUUCUUCUCCAUCUCUUCCUUAUCCUUCUCCAUCGCUUCUUUCUCCUUCUUCAUCACUAUCACACACUUCUUCGCCGUCAGAAGCAUAUUCGUCGCUUCGACCACUGUUUCCUCGUAGCUUUUGUGCUUCUCCUCAAGUUUUUCAGACAGGGAUUGGAACCGGUUUAGUAUUGUUGAAUUCACUCUCUCUGAUAUCUCUUUGAUCAUACCUCGAUAUGUUUCGUGGGUUGUUGCGAUUUUCUCCUCGAGCAAUGCUUGUUCCUCUAAAUGCUUAGCUUCUAUUCUCUUCAACUCUCCUUCUUUCUCUGUUAACACUUGUUCGGUUACUCUCAGUUUCUGGUUAGACAAACGGAGUUUAACCUCGAUGUUACUCAUCUUCUCCAUCAAACUCUCUAUCUCGUCUCCUUUCAUCUCUACUUCAUUACGUAGACUCUCUACCGUCUCCUCGAGAUCUACAAUCGCGGAUUCCCUCGAUGCAACAUCUUUACCGGUCUCUUGCAUUCUCCUCUCUGUCUCCUCCAUCUUCGACAUGUACUCCUCCAACAUCUCUCGUGCUUGUUUGUAAUCAUCUGUUAGCUUCUUGAUUGUUGCUUCUCGUUCUUCGAACAAGCCGUUGAUCUGUUUGUGUUCUUGGCUCAGCGUAUUGUACGCAGCUUCUUGCUCUAACAACGCUUUCUGCACAUCAUUUAUCUGAUUCAGUAACGCUGGUUUCUCUUGCUUCUCUCUCUUGAGUUCUGCAUCGGUUUGCCCCUGUAGACGGUUAACUUCUUCCAGUGUACUCUCGUGAUCUUUCGCCUUAUUCGCAAGCUCUGCUUCCAAUCCAUCUCUCUCUUUCUUCACAUCUUCUAGCUUCUGAUUAAGAUCAGAUUCAGUCUCACCAGCAACUUCAAGUUUCUGAUUUAGUUCUUUGUUCUCACUCAUUAACUUCUCAGCUUCAAGUCUCAAAUUCCCACAGAUCUCCUCUGAUUCCUUUAACUUCUUCAAAAUCUCUUGGUGCUCUGAUUCAACAGCUUCUUUUUCUUCAUCAGUUGUUGCUAACUUUCUUUUGAGAUCAGCAAUUUCAAGAUUUGCAUCUUCCAUCUGUUUCUUUACCAACUCUAUGUCAUUCUCAGCCCGCCCGUUUCUCUUGCUCUUCUUAUCUGAAUCCGAGUCUGAACUCGAAGAAGAAGAGCUCUCGUUCUCUCCUUUCCCAUGAACUUUUUUCCUGAUCUCACCCGUUAGAUCAUCGUAUUGUUGAUACAAAGACUCAUACUCUUUGUAGAAGUCCUUCACUAACUCAGCAACCACUAGUCUUUUGGAUUCAUCUUCCUCAAUAUCUCCACUCUCAACAAUUCCUAAGAUUUUCUUCACUUUCUCAUCAAUUUCUGCAUUGUUGAGAAAAGUAUAUUUUCUCCAUUUAAAACCAAAAGACCUAUGGAUUUAGCAUGAUCUGACAAAAAGUAAAAUAACAAGUGCACAAAAAAAAUUACCAGUUUUUGUUCCUUUGAGUGAUUCACCAUUAUCAGGAUGAAGAUGAGGCUCAAAGAAAGAUUUUAAGGAGUCUCUAAUACUAAGCUUUCUCAUUUCUUCUUCAAUCAAAAGAUUCGAGAUUUGGAACUAACAAGUCAUGUCCGGGACAUCAAGCACGAUCUGUACUUUACACAAUAUCACAGAGAAGACAUGUGAGAAGAAACUAUAACUUGUUCAAGACAAUUAGCAAUAUUCAAUUGAAAAAGAUACCAUCAUUUUCAUGUUUAGUAAACUAAUGUUAAUUUGGGGCUGACUUGCAAUUGAAUAGUAACAGAAAUGAAAAAAAGAAAAAGUAGAUGACUCAAUUGGAGCCUGACAUGACCAAACAAGUAGAUACCAGAAGUAUAACUAUUUAAAUCAAAGUAUAAUAUGAAUAUCUUAUGACAAAAAGGUGAGAUUAGUUAAAAGGCAGAUGGAUCCAUCCCCAUCCUCUGGUAAUAAAAAUACAAAGUAGUAGUAGAUACUCUCAUGAUCCAACAACAAACUAUAGAGAUCCAUACCAAUGUGAUAGUUUUUAAAACUGAUUACAAACUUUAAAAUCCAAAAUUGCUAAUCAGUUUUUAGCAAUUAAUCUGAUAGAAAAAUGAUUAGAUGCUAAUUAAGAAAUGAAUGGUAGGAGAAUGUAGUGGAGAAACUUUAAGGGGAAUGGGAACAAGAAAGCACAUAGAAUGAUCAUAAAAAGACAGCUAUCAUCAUCAUCAUAACCAUAUGAGUUGUUUCUUUUUAUGUCUCUAUUAUACAAAGACAAUAAUAGAGGUCUUCCAAAUCUUCCCCCAAAAAAAUGUUAAAAAUAUUAGCAUUUUGAAACAAAGAUGAUACACUAACUAGUAGCAGAUCAAAAUCGAGAUUUAAUGGAGUUGCAUGAAAGAUUAAUAACAAAGAUCCAAGUACAUGAAUUACAAAUCUGCCAAAACUAGCUAUGAUUAAGGAACAUGAGGUAGACUAUUAUAGAAACUAAACACCAUUGAUAAAUAGCUAGAAUAUCACCGAAACCUCUUAAGAGCAUAACCUGAGUUUAGCCUAUAAUCUCUACAAAUAAAAAAAAAAAAAACUUCAAACAAAGAAAUUCACUAGAAGAUGAGCUACUACACCAGAUCGAAGAGUUAACAAGAACUAGGAACUUGAAAUCGAAGAUCUAAUCAAAACAGAGAUAUCGAAACUCAGCUCAAUCAUCAAGUGAUCGGAGAUCUUUUUUUACCUGGAAGAAGAAGCUCCGGUGACAGAAAACGGUAGCUAAAAAAAACAAAGGAGAUAUUUGUAUACAAAAAUUAAUGGCGAGAAAAUGAAACGAAUUUAUAAAACCGACGAAAGAGAGAGAGAGACAGAGGAGAAGAAAAGUGGUUCGGUUUUGGACUUUUUUAUGCCAGCACAGAAAACGUUAGAUGAGUUACAUUUCCAAUUAUACCCCUCCGUUCUAGAGUUUAUUACGUUAUUUACCACUGACAAACCGGUCAACAAUAUUUUACAUUUUGACUUUUCUAAUAUUAGGAUUGAGAUAAAAAUAAAAAACAUUGUAAUAAUAACUUUUACUUGUUAUUAUGGUAGAUUACAAAAUUUUUUACAACAACAAUGAAUCCACGAUCUUACAGUAAAUAUUUUAUAUUUUUGCAAGAUGGGUUAGUGAGUGAAUAUAAACAAAUAAAUAACAAUUUUGUGAAAAAUGGAAAAAGAGUUGAAUUCUUUUUUAUAAAAAGUUAGGUGUUAAGAUGAUCAACCUUUAAGAUUGAUGAUUUCUUGAGUUGAUCGUAUCGAUCUCGUUGAUAAUCCACAAGAAUACAGAGUUGUCUUAUGGCUUCUCUCUUCUCUUCUCCUAAACUCAACAAUUCUACUUCUCUUCCCUUCACCUUCAUCUCAAGCUCUUUUAUCCUCGUUUCGAAUUUGCUCAAAACCUUUGCUAGUUUCAGUUUCUCUGUUCCUUCUUCCGCAAGCUUCUUCUCUAGCUUUGAUAACUUCUCCUUCAACAAUGUUUCUUGAGCUUCUCUGCAUUCUAGCUUUGCCGUUAGAGUCUCUACCUCGCUCUUCUUCUCACUCACCCAAAGCUUCGCUGACUCCAUCUCUUUUGCUAAUCUAGCAACUCGGUUCGUGGUUUCCUCUGCUUCUUCUAGUUUCUUCAUCGCGGUUUCGGAUCCUGUGUACCCUUUUUCCAAUGCGCCUUUCAUUUUAUUGAAUUGGGUUUCGAAAAACAUCAAACUUUCUCUGUUUUCCUUGUUUUCUUGAAGCAUGUCUCGGGUUUUGAUGUAGUCGUUCUUGCUCUCUAAGUGUAUCUGUUCAGCUACGUGGAUCCUCCUGUAUAGUAUCCUAAUAUGAUCUUCUAUCUUCAUCCGGAAAUCUUCAGCUAAUUCUUCCAUUUUCCUCUCUAACGCAUUUGGAUUCAGUUUCGAAUCUCGGCUCGAACCAAAUGACCAACGUUUCGAUAGCUUCUGAUCUUCAGAGAACUUAUCAAUGGUGUCUUUUUGUUCUUUGAGAAGCCUCUGUUGAUCCUUGAUUUUCGCCGAUAGCCUGCGAAAAGAGAAACAUACAGACUUAAAGCCUGAAUACUCCGAGAGCAGUCGAUUACUUUGAAAAUCAAAACACGUCUGUUGUUUACCUGCGAAUAAUAUCAUCUUGUUCCUUGACCAAUUUCUUCUGAUCAGAAACCUGAAUGUCCAAUUUCUUGCUCGCAUCUUCCAUUUCAUGAGCGCUCUCUGUCUUCAUCUCCAUAUGUAAUGAUUCGAGCUCUGCGAUUCUUCUAUGCAGCAUCUGAUUUUCUCCUCUAAGAUGGCCAAUCUCUUCAUUCAGUCUAUUACGCUCUUCCUCUGUUUCUUCUUCCAGACUUUUCAAUUGCAUCUUCGUCUCUGUAACUUCUUCUACUUUCUUCUCCAACUUUGCUUCAGAUUCAUCUUUCUGGCUCCGCAAUGAUUCAAGCUCAUGUUUCAUACCAUUUACCUGAUCCGUCAAUCCCUUAACGCGUUCUUUCUCUUCGACUCUCUUAACUUCUAAAUUUCCAGCCAAACCCGCAUUUCGUGCACGAAGGAAACCGAUUUCUUGUUCUAAAUUUUUUAAUUGGCAUUUCAAAUCUUCGAUUCUCGAUGUUAAACCCAACUCACUAUUCCCAAACUUGUUCACAAGUAUUGAUAUCUCAUCCCCUUUCUCUUUCAAAACCGAUUCCAAACCGGAGAUCUGAGAUCUUAGCCCUUUGUUCUUCUCUCCUAAUUGCUUACUUUCACUAGCUUUCAUCGCAAUCUCUUUCUCUAAAUUUCCUUUCCGAUCACACUCAGCUUUUGCAUUACCUAGCUCUCGUUCUAGCUCCUUCACACGCAAAGUCAAUUCUCGUUGUUUCUCUUCAGCCUCAUUCCUCAAUGCCUCAAUCUUGCUUUGAAGCUCACCAAUUUCAAUUCCUUCCUCAACAACAUUCUCUAUUUCCUCUGAAGAGUAAUAUUCCAAAUCCGAACUCGAUGAAGCAACACGCGAUUUCCCUUUUCUUCUGCCACCACUUUUCGGAUCUAAAUCUUGUUGGAAAUCAUCACAUACAGAAUAGAGAGACUGACACUGCUCUUGAAGAUCGUUAACAAUCCCUAGAAGCUCUCUCUUUGAAUCCCUUGGAAUCCUGUUUUUGUUUUGGAUGAACUUUAAAAGUUUUGAAACUUUCUUCUCCACUUCUGCAGAGAUAACAAGAGAACUAACAAAACCUUACAUAAACAAUUUUCAAAGACGAAAAUAGUAUUUGCUGUGAUUUAAUCUCCAUUGAGCAUUAAUUCAAAACAAAUCUUACCUGUUUUUGCUCGCUCCAUUCUUACGAUCCUCGUUCUUGCCUCUGCAUUUGAACCUCACCAAACAGAAAGAUCAAUAAAAUGUCCUGCAAACACACAAAAUAGCAAAAAUCACAAAUGUUUAGUAUCAUAUAUAUCCAAAAGGAAACCCCUGUCAUUAUUAUACGUGACAAUAAUCUUUUAAUUUAUGCAUUGAUGGGAGAAAUAAUCUUUUGCCCUGUAAAAUGGGAAUGAACCACAUUUCUGAUUACUUUUACCCCAAGAAAGCUUCACAAAAAACAGAAUAAGAGAAUGAUCUCACGUAACGAUACAAUGGGGAUCAAAUCAAAAUAAAGAGACCACUGAAACAUCGAUUUUGAUCAGAAAGAUUGGAGAACAGAACAAACUGUAUUCUACGAUUUACAUUGUCCCUUCAAAAUUUUCUGCACUUUCUCAGCAAAAUCACAAUUCUUUAAAAUUGACAGAAAAAAAAAAGGAUUGAAAAUAUUACCAGGUGUGAGAUCGAAUAGUUGUUUCUUCGCCUUCCUUGGAAAGCUGAAACCAAACAAUGAUUUAAAUCUAAUCAUGAUUUUUAAAUUAGAAAGAGAGAUUUUUAGCAAAAAGAUAGAGCAAUAUUAGAAGAUAGAGCAAUAUUAGAAGUUGUGAUAAGAGGAAAAAAGGAUAAAUAAAUAAAAUGUAAUGGUUUUUUUUGUUUACCAAUAUUAGAAGACAUGUACUCAAAAAUCCUAACCUUUUCAUUUAUAUCAAGCCAUAAUCUGUUGUUCUUCACAAUUAAAACCAACUAAUGCCUGGCAAUUUCCCUCCAAAGCUUUCUGAUAUUCCAUCUCUAAGCCUUUCUACUUCAUCCCAUCUCCCAUAUCUUGCAUACACAUUAGAGAGCAUCACUUUGUAAACACUUCUUCUCUCUUCUCCACUCUUCUGUAUUUUCUCUGCUACUACUUCAGCCAAAUGAGUGUUCUCAUGAACUUCACAACAUGACAAUAGUGCUCCCAAAAUUCCUGAAUCAAUUGGUUUUCGUAAUGACAUUACAAACUCAAAUGCUUCUUCCAGUUUUCCAGCCAUUCCCAUUAGCUUUACAAUGUAAACAUAAUGCUCUGUUUGCGGCUUAAUACCAAACUCACUCUUCAUCCUCUCGAAGAUAUCUUGACCUUUGUCUAAAAGACCCGAAUGGCAACAAGUACAAAGAAGAGCAGAGAAAGUGAUCUCGUCGGGUUUCAAUCCCAUCUCAAGCAUCUCAGUGAACUUUUCAAACGCAGAGGAAGCAAAACCGUGCAAGCCAAGACCCAAAAUAAGGGAGUUGAAAGAAACAAUGUUUUUCUCUGGAAUUCCUGCGAAAAGACUCAUCGCGCAAUCCAGAAGCCCACAUUUUGAGUACAUGUCUAUAAGACCAGAGCACACCUUUAUAUCAAGUUCUAGUCCUAGUCGAAUAACAUAACCGUGCACUUUUUUCCCGUAGACUGAAUUCGAUAACUCAGCACAAGACCCUAAUACAAUCGCCACAAGAACACAAUCUGGCUUCUUACCACUCAUUCUCAGCUCAGCAAACAUAUGCAAAGCCUCCUUGUGAUUCCCGCAUCUCGAAUAACCAGUUAUCAAAGAAGAACACGCAACUAAAUCAGGCUCACAGAUGCUAUUAUACACACUACAAGCAGAAACUAUGCACCAGCAUCUCGAGUACAUGUUAACUAAAGCACAACCAACAUAAGAAUGAGAAUCUAGAUUGAUUUUCAAACAAAAUCCAUGAACAGACCAAGCAAUGAGUAACAAACUAGGAUCAAUCAAACCAAUUGUUAGCGCUACCAUUGUAUAACAAUUCGGUAGAUGUCCUCGAUGUUGCAUCAAGUUAAACAAAUUGAUUCCUUUAUCCCAAAAUCCACAGCAUCCAUAUCCAAGAAUCAUAACAUUCCACAGAGCAAGAUCUGGAUCUGGUAUUGAACAAAACAACUUACUUGCUUCAACAAUAAGGCCAGCUUUUGAAUAAGCUUUAACAAUUGCACUGCCACAAAUUUGAUCAAAACCAAGACCAGACAUAAUUGCAAUCCCAUGAACACGUCUCAGUCCCUCUGUAUCGAAACUCUCUGAAAAGCCACGAGCUAAACACGCAUAGGUGAAGUUAUCAGGUCUCGUAUCAGAACUCAGCAUCUGAGAGAAGAGUGACAAAGAAGUACUAAAUUGAUAAGCUUUAGCAUAAGCUCGAAUAAUAGAGUUCCAGAGGAAAACACUUCUCUCAGGAAAUACGUCGAACAGUUUGCGAGCAGACACGAGAUCAUCGUUUAACGCAUAGAAUCUAACAAGUUGCGUCGCGAAAUACGGGUCACGCGCGAGUUUGGACUUGGUAACAAAGCUAUGCAGUUUCUGGGUACUCAAUCUCGUUUGAAAUUUCCUCGAGAACUCAUAGAUAAUCAAACGUAACUGCGUCUGCGAGGCCAUUACAGAUAAACGCAAAAAUCCAAUCUUUAAUCGAACAAAACCUCAAACACAGGAGUUCCAAAAUCGGAAUAAGACUUUAGGCGAAGAUGGUACAAUAAAAGUGUAAACUUGCAGAAGCUAGAGGGAAGUAUCUAAAGAAAGCAAAUUUACACAUACAAAAAAAAAAUGGUAUUUAAGAGGUUACACAAAAAAGGGUUAGUUUUAAGGUUCUUCAAAAACCAAGAUGCGUGUGUUUCAAAGCUAUGUAAGCUCAGAGUCUGAAGCAGGACCAGUGAGUUGUCUACGUCUUCCAUGGCUCAAAGGACUCAUAGGACUCAAAGGCAAUCUUGUAUCCUUCCUUGCUUUGCUGCUGCUUCUUCCAAAUGGACUUAGUGGUGAUGACACUUUCGGUGUUGAUCUCGGUUUUAUAGGCGAUGAUCCUGGAGACCGUAAACCUGCAAUGAAAAGGAUGAUUAAUCUAUUUGGUUUGAUCCAUCAGAGAGCUUUAGAACUAAGUGGUUUGGCUUAUCUGACCUGAGAUUGAGUUUCUUCUGUUUUUUAUGGUGUCACCACUUUUCUUUAAAGCUGAUGUCUUUUUGAUUGGAGCUUCUGAGUAAACUGAUCUUAUAUCUGAGUAUUCAGAUAUUGCAUCUAAGCACAAUGACUUUGUAUACAUUGGCAUUGUUGGUGGAUCUUCAACCACUGAAACACCUUCAGAAACAGAUUCCCCUGUUUCUGAAUUCUCUUCUUUGUUAAAGUUUGGACUCAUCUUCUCUUUCUCUGCAAUCCUGUAUGAGUAGAGCUGGAAUGGUAUUUGUGUCACGGAUCCUGCGUGAGAACCUGACUCCAUUGAGAACUUUUUCAAGAAUCUUGCUUCUAAGUCCCAGCAAUCAACAAGUGGGUUUUGGAUUUGGAGGUGGCCGUGAUCCGGAUUCACAACUAGGAAUUUCUUGAUGUAGCGGAGGAUCCGGCAUAUCGAAGAGAAUGUUGGACGCUGACUCGGUUCUGAAUGCCAACACCGUUUAAUUAGACUAACGAGGUAUUUUGGCGAAGGGAAUGGGAAGAGAGGUCUCUCUCCCGUUCUUAUGUUCUUAGCCAUUUUCUCGCCUUGAAGAUGGUCAUCUUCAAAUGGAACUUUACCGGUUAUAAGCUCGAAACACACCAUAGCAAAGCUAUAGACAUCAGCUUUAUGUGUAAACUUUGAUCUCGGAGCUGUACCUUUGAGAUCUUGUUCCAUCUCUGCUAGAACUUCAGGUGCAUACCAUAUUACAGGAUCGGGUGUGGUUGGUCUAGAGGAAGCCCGAGAAAAUGACUGAUUUUUAACUGAGGUCAAGCCGAAACCUGAGAUUUUCGCGUGGAAAUAACCUUCGGUGUGACUUCUCUCUUUCAAAAGAAUGUUCAUGGGAUUCAAAUCUCCAUGGAAAAUCUCAUUAGAAUGAAGAUAUUCCAUCCCUCUCGCGAUUUGAAGCAUUAUAUCGAUCACAACGGGAACAGAGAAAAGAUACCUUCUUCUAGGUCCACAAUUCUCCUUCAUGUAGCUUUUCAAAUCUUUGUGCAUUAACUCCAUAACCAGAGAACAUUCUUUCCUUUCUUCAUCAUAGAAUCCACAAAGGUACUGAAGUAUAUUCGAAUGACAAAGCGAUAACAGAGAAGAAAUCUCUGCAUUCAACGGCUCAAGAUCCCCGAAAAAAUGUCUCAACACAAAACUAUCCCCUAACCAUUGAAUCUCCUUGUACUGACCACCACCACCUAAUCUCCGCCUCACUUGGUAAUCCUUAGAACCAACAAGUAUCGAACUCGGGAAGAGCUUACCGUUAAACUGUUCCAAUCCAGUUAGUUUCUUCAACAGAAAAUCAGCUAAACGCUUCUCAGUCUUCCCAAUCUCAUCGCUCUUGGACUUCCUCUUCUCUUGCAAUGCCUCCACUAGAUUCCACCUAUCUUCCCUCCAAGAAUGCUCGAACCGAAUGCAAAUAUCCCUCGGUACCAAAUACUGUUUCCCAUACCUCCACUGAAACAGCUUGGGAUCAUUCCACUCCCUAUCAUACUUUCUUGAAAACACAACUCUCCUCCUCUCCAUCUCAGCAGGGUCGAGACCCGAAAUCUCACCCGCUGUCUCGAUGGCUUCGAUCACAGCCGAGAAGUAACAAAGCAAAUUGUGAAUGUGAAACUCAACACAAUCUUUGUUCUGAUGAAAGUUGAUAACUUUACCCCACCAAUCUUUAUUAGACAUACAAUUCCGAACAUACAUUUCGCCUUCUUUAAAAACUCGAUAAAGCUCUCUCAAAGGCUGUUCAAGAGCUCUCCAUUUAGUAUGCUUCUCUUCAAGCUUCAAGUGGUGUCUGAUCUCUUCGGCUACGGUGUUGAAAGCCAAACUGAAAAUAUCUAACAACAAACAACAUUGUCUUUGGUUGAUUAAGAUAUCGUCUUGUAAUACCAUUAGCGCGUUUAAACUUCCAAGAACCUCUCCGAUUUGCCUGAAUUGCUCCAUCACAUUACAGGCUUGCUUGUCAAGUAUUCAAAUUUCUCGAACAAACUGAAAAAAAAACAUGAUUCGCUUAAAUCAUUUAUAUAUAUGAUUCAUGAUUCUAGAUCCAGCAAUAUUAAGGAAUGGAAGAAAAAAAAAACCUGAAAUGAAGAUCUUUUUUUUUGUUCAAGGAUCGAUGAAUUCUCUUGGAAUAUAUGAAAUCAUAUGGUUCAACCAAAAGAUCAACAAUCUUCUCCAACCUGAUCAUCAUCAAAUGAAUCCAUCUCAAAAUUAGGGUUCAAACUAUAAAAUUCGAGGAGAAAAUCAACCGCUAAAGAAUCGAUCUUUACCUGUAAAACUUUGAAUCAGAAGAAGCUUCAAAAGAGAGAGAAAAAAAGCUAAGAAGAAGAAUUUCUUCUCUUCUCUUUUGGGUUGCUUCUAAAUUUUUUUUCCCAAAGGUUUUCGCUGUCUCUCUGUAACGGUUUUGCAGAGAAAGAGCUAAAUAAUUUUUCCAGGACUUUUUUUUUUUUUUUUGUUCAAACGUCAAAGUGUUACGUUUUCGUCAGGUGUUUUUUUCUUUGUCCGCAUUAUUUGGAACCCAUUUACGAAGUGUUCCCGCGAGUUUCGUCAUUAAUUAAUUAAUUGAUAAUGUACUUAAUUAGAGUUUGAUUUGAGUUAAAAAGGAAACAAUUAAUAAUAACUAGGACAAUAACUACGGUGUGUUUCGGUCUAAAACAGCGUUGUUUUAUCGACUUUUUCGAUCUAAACGUUGUCGUUUUGUAGUCUCAACCUUAAUCCAUUUGAGCAUUUUCUUUCCCAAGUCUUAACAAAAACAACCUAAUAAAUUAAGAUUGAUUCUGACCAAAAUAUAAAUAAGAUUAAGGCUGAUUAGUCUAUAUUUGAAUUCUUUUACGCAUUUGAAUCUUUGACCUUCCAACUAGAAUUUUGAAUGUUAAACUAAAAAAAGAAGAGUAGACAGUGAGGCAUAUAAUGUUUGUUUAAGAGAAAAGAUGACUAUUUUGGAAAAAAUAUGUAAGAAGCAAAAUUGAAGAUAUAAUCUUCAUUUUGUAUACGCUAAUAAUACUUCAUAUGCUGGUUUAAGGUACUUUAGUUGGCAAAUAUAUCGGCAAUUCUUAACAAAAACAAACGAGUCAUGAUAUGACGAGUAACAAAAACAUAAAACAAAAUUGAACAAGUUAUGAUUAUUGAAUUGAAAUCAUUAGUUAUACUCUAUAGAAGUCAAAUAUUCAUCAUUUUUAUGCUAUGUGAUCAUAUGUGUUCAGGACUUCAUGUUAAAAAAUGCUACGUGUUUAGGUUGAAGAUAGUGUUGGUUUAAGCUUGAAGGAUAGACCGGAGUUUACUUGAACCGCAAGAUAUCAGUUUAAUAAAAAGAUAGAGUCAAAUCUUUAGGAAUUAUCUAGAAGAUUUAUUAGAGUCCUAAUCAAGUUAGGAUUAGGUCAAGUGUUGAGACUAUAUAAGCAUAUAUCGAGUUUGUGGUAUAGCUUAUGAGUUAAGAGAGAUUUGAGAUUAAGAGAGAUUGUUUUGUGAGCUUUAGUUUUGAGAAUUUUCUAAAGCAUAUCAAUAAGAGAGUAAUUCUUAAAAGCUUUGUGUUCUUAAUCUCCUUUGAAUUCUAGAGAUAGAAAUUUUGAAGAUUAAAAAGAUCAUUAGUUCGCAAUUCGCGAGGUAGCAUAAAUUGAAAAGGUUUUCAUAGUUGAUUAUCUUUCCUUCUCUCACAUUGUUUGCACAUAUCUCUCAAAGCCUUGGAGGAUCAUACAAGUUAUGAUCACGCAAACUUCCAUUUUUUUCCUCAAGUUUCUGAUCGAUGAAGAGAAUUAAUCGAUGACAACUUCUUGAUUCAAGAAUCCGACAAAACAAAAAGGUUAGUUCUACCUUAACACUUAAAACACUUUCUAGGUGUGUGAAAUAGCAUUCCCUUCAUUGGAAUUCAUUUUUACUAUAUCUUUAGAAUCAGAAUAUUCGUUUCGCCAGAAUUAGGGAGAUGUGAGUUAGCUAGUACUAAUUGGCCCCAAAACAAAGAGUAUAGGCCAACAAAUGUCUUCAGUGAUUUGAUAAUUUUUCAGAAAGGUAAAAUAUUUAUUAGUUAAUGUUUUUUUAAUUUGAUAAAACUUUUAACAAAAGUUAAACUGGAGUUUUUUACUUUUAAUUUUAAUAAUUUAUUAAAAUUAAAAGUACUAAGGAAACUAAGAAAGAGAAACAUAUAGCUGGAAAAUGGAAAUUACUAAAUUUAAUUUAGAAAUCUGCUGAAUGAUGAGAUAAGAACAAAUUUGCUAAUUUUAAAGAAAAUAAAUUGACAAAGUGAUGGAAGUGACUUGUGGAUUAUUAUAUAAGUCGGAUGUUAAUUAAAAACAUAAAAUAAAAUAAUCAAAAAUUGUAUAUGAUAUAAUGAGUUGUUAAUCUAUUAGAAAAAAACAAUUGCGUUUGUUCAUGUAAAUCACUAUACAAGUGUUAGUCUUGUGUAAAUGUAAAGUUGUCGAGAAAAGAGAAGUUUUCCAUAAAAUUUGAAACAAUACUCUGUUUUCUUCUCUCUUCCAAUUCUAUUUUACUUUUCUUGAUCACAUCAAACCAAUAAUAUAUAAACUGUUCUCUACCGAUCCAGAUUUCGUGCUCGUCUCUUUUUCCAACAAGAUCAUGAGUUCUCCGGUGCUAAAUCAAGACAUAAUCCAAGAGGUUCUUUCUUAUUUCCCGGCUUCAAAAAUUGGAAAAUUCAGGCUCCUGAAUAAAGAGUGCAACAAGAGAAGCUACGAGUCAUGGUUUCUCAAUCUCAAUUUCCAUAGAACCAACUAUAUCUCCGGAUACUUCCUAGAACGCUACGAACGAGGAUACAAACUUGAUACCAGUUUUGUCCAUGAGAGGAGAGAUUUGGAAAACAAAGGAGUCUCCAUCGAUUUUCUGCCACAGGGAGAGGGAAAGAUUAAAGCUUGUGAUGCAAGUCAUGGAAUAUUGCUUUGUGUUAAUGAUACAGGAAUAAUACCGGAAUACAUAGUCUGCAAACCAACCACAAAACAGUAUCAGAUCAUACCAAACCCAAAAGUGGGGAGAUGUGAUAAGUCACUCGGUAUAAUGGUAACCGGAUUGAACCCUUUCCGGUAUAAAGUAUUUAGGCUUUCGAAGUCGCCCGGUAUGAAUCGGAGUCUCAGAACUUUUGCGUGCGAAGUUUUUGAUUCCGAUUCGUUUAUGUGGAAGAGGAUAAAAAAUCUGCGUCUACCAAGAACAGACGGUUUAAUUUUUUCAAACCCGGUACAAGCUUCGGGGUUCUUGAAUUGGAUAUCACGGAACAACAACGUGAUCCGGUUAUGUCUCAAAACCGAAACUUGGUCUUUCUUACAUACCCCAAACGUUGGUAUAUUCCCAGAGUUGGUCAGAUACGAAGGGAAGCUAGGUGUUAUUCGUCACUGGAUAAACAACAAUCAAGAAGAUGUUCACGGAUUAUGGGUUUUAAAGAGCAGUUUUGAGAAGUCGUGGAUAAAAGUGAAAGAUAUUAAAAGCAUUGGAGUAGAUCACAUUGUGUGGACUCCAAGCAACGACGUCGUAAUGCUUUCUAGUUGGGAUCGUGUCUGCCUCUACAACAUUAACACAGAAAAGUUGAACUUAGUUCAUACAAACAAAGAUUUUGCCUCUUACGUUUGUUUCCCGUUUUGUUCUGAUUACGAGAAGAUUGAUCUGGAUUCUGGACGAAAGAAGAAAUGGACCUACAAAUGCAAACUAGUCAACAAGGCCCAACGUGGGGCACAAAAUAUAGGAAUAUUUAAUUUGUUAUAUGGUUUGUUCUUCUUUUUUUUCUUUUUGGCCAAAUAUGGUUUGUGCUUCUUAAAAGCUUAUGUAUGAAACCAAACAUUUUUUUAUGAAUAUCUUUUUUUUUUUUUUUUAUCAUGGGUGAGUAAUCUAAUUUUUUGGCUAGUUAUUUUGAUGUAAUAGGAUAUAGUGUCCAAAAUUUCUUUUCUUAGAUAAUUUAAUAUAUUUGGUGACAAAAAAGUCAUUUUUAAUAUAUUAGAAAGCAAUAAAAUCUUGAUCAUAUAAGCGACAAAUAUAUAGACUAAACAGGUAAUAUCUAAUAUUAUUUACACAUAUAUAUCUUAUCACCAUAACACGUAUCACGAAUGUAUAUUAUUGAGAUUAUAAGUUUUCAUACAUGUCCUAAACUAGUCAAACUAGAAAAAAUGUGGACAGCAAUACUUUCUUUACCGUGGUCAUACAUGUCCCCUGACUUGUCAUUUUUGCUAUCCUUAGCUAGAAUCAGAAUUUUCCGAAAAAAGUGUGGGCCAAAAAUGUGUUCAGUGAUUUAUAUUUGGUAAUUUUUCAUUAAGCUUAAAAUUUUAUUAAUUACAGUAGUGUGAUGAAACAUUUAACAAAAGUAUAACUAUAGACAUUUUUUGUUUAAAUUUUAAUAAAUAACAUUAAAUUGAAAAUACUAAGGAAACUAAGAAAGAGAAACAUAUGAAAAAUGGAAAUGACUAAAGUUAAUUAGAAAUCUGCUAAACAAUAAUAGUUCUUUCUUUUUGCUAAUUUUUAAAAGAAUAAAUUGGCAAAAUGAGGGAAUUGACUUGUGGAUUAUUAAUUUACUAGCGUUAGAACCCGUACUACGUACGGGACCAAAAUAUUUACUUGUAUUUGUGUUAAAGAUUUAUUGUAUUUUUUUUGGGACUUUUGCAAAAAUGCCCCUUUUUCAAUGCCACUUUUCAAAAAUGCCCAUUCUUUAAAAUUUUAUAAAAAAUGUUCUUAAAAAUAUAAAAUUUACCCAAAUAUGUAUGUAACAUUAUUAAAACAUACACAAACUACAUUUCUAUGUAUCUAAAAUCUUAUAAAUACUUUAUAAAUAUCUUAUAAAUACAUUUUAAAUACCUUUAAAAACUUUUAAAAUAUUUUGUAAAACCUUUGAAAAACCUUAUAAAUCCUUUAAAAUAACUUGUAAAACCUUUAAAAACACCUUAUAAAACAUUAUAAAUACUUGGAUCGAGUCUUCAAGUAGUAGUUACAAUCCAUAAGUACCUUAUCAACCUAAUAAAACUUUAUAAAAAUUUUAGAUUUAAAAAGGGCAUUUUUGAAAAUGGACAUCUAAAAGGGGCAUUUUUGAAAAGAGGCACACCAAAAGGGGCAUUUUUAAUAAUUUCCUUUUUUUUUUUUGUAAGUAAAGAUUUAUUGUAUUUUAAGAUCAAGUUUGUGCUUAUACGAUUAUUGUGUUCUAGAUUUAUUAUAUUUUAAGAUCAAGUUAUUGAAAGCGUAAGUUAAGAAAAUGCUCUUUAACAAAAAAGUAUUCUUGGUCUAGUGGUUGCCACUUGUGGAGGAGUUGCCCUGUUGGUCUAGGCCAGAGAUCGAUUCCCCGCAAGCGCGCAAUUGUUAGAUCUCCACUUGGCCAUAUGGAUAUGGGCCCUUAACUUUCGGCCCAUUUGCAUACCCGGAGAGAGAGUCUAUCUGUGGGCUGCACCUCCCCCAUGGGAUUAGUCUAGGCCCCUCCAUAGGUCUGGGAUUCCCCUGAGUUAUCAAAAAAAAAAAAAAAAAGUUAAGAAAAUGCAAAUAUAGUAAGAGAUCUACUCACUUCGUUUGACAUGUAGAUUUGCUAUCUCUCUAAACAGUUAUUUUUGACAUGAAGAAACUUUAGCACCUAUUGAACUGUGCAGAAAUAGAUGUAAUAAUCGGGCGACAUAACUGGAGAAUGGAAUUUGUAAUAUGAACCUGCAAUGUGAAAUAGAGAAUUUGAUGAACAUUAGAAACAACAAUGAACAAACUAAACCAGAAUUGAGAAAUUCAAAAACAGAAAAUGUAAAAUGAAAGAUUUUGAAAUAAAUAAUUUGAUGAAAAGAUGAUGAACAAACUUAACCAUAAUUGAGAGAUACAAAAACAGAAUUGUAAAUUGCAAAAAGAAGAUGAGACAUAAGAUUGAUGAAAGCAUGAAAUCAGAACAUAGGUUCCUCCAUAGUGAAGAAGAAUCAUACCUUUUGCCAACGGUUUCUUUUCCUUCGUUUUCUUUUGACUCAAUCUCAUCUCCUUCGUUUUCUCCCUUCUCCGUGGAUCUAGGUUUUUGAAUUCUUGGGUUUUGAAUGGAGGACGAAGCAAAUAGAGGUUUAGUAUGAAUAUGAAUUUUUGAUCAAGUGAGAAUUAUAUUAGUGACACUUUGUUGAAUCUCAGAGAUCAUGGAAGAACAGUAGAGAUCGUGGGCAGUUGAAGGAUAUUGUUUCUGUCGUAAUUCUUUUUUUUUUUUUUCUUUUGAAGAGUAAAAGUUUUUUUUUUCGUUUUAGUGAAGAUAGAUAAAUAUGUAAUUUUUUUUGUUUUUUAUUUUUCCCACGAUCUUCCUUUUGUUUAAAAUUAUUUUGAAAAAUCAUUUGUUCUCAUGUUGGCUGGAUUUAGUUUUUUUUUUUUGUUUUAAAUUUAAAUUUUAUGUAUUAUCGAUUUUUUGUUUUACUUUUUUGCCAUGAUCUCUCUUUUGUUUUACAAUAAAUUUUGUAAAAAAUUUGUUUUUGCUGACAUGUCAAAAUUUUGUUGGUGUUGUGACUUGUGCUUUAUAAGAUAAAGGAUUAUACAAGUUGGAUAUUUAUUAAAAAAAAAUAAUUGUCAAAAAUGAUAGAAGCAUUAUUAUAUAAUGAGUUUUUAAUCUAUGAGAAGAAAAAAAAAAACAAUAAAAAACCAAAGAUUUUUGGGUAAAAAAAAAGUUGUUUCCUAAGUCUAGCAAUUAAAUUAUUGUAAUUUGGUUAAAAGUCAAAAGAGAAAUUUUGGGCUCAAGGUAUCACAAGUAACAUCAAUGAAAGAUUUUAUCUUUGGUUAAUUUGUUUGUUUUUUGGGACACUAUCGAAGAAAAAGGUAAAUAUUGAUACUUUCCUUACACAAAGAAGGAUAUAUAAACACUACAUAUUCAUCAUAAGCUGUUCUCUACCCGUCUACCGAUCCUGGUUUUUAUAUUUCUCAUUCAGUGAUCGUGCUCAUCUCUUUUUUCCCGACAGGAUCAUGAGUUCUCCGGUGAUGAAUCAAGACAUGAUCCAAGAGGUUCUUUCUUAUAUACCGCCUUCAAAAGUCGGAAAAUUCAGGCUCCUGAAUAAAGAGUGCAACAAGAUGGGUCGUUGAGCUUGGAUGGGUCUGUUUCUUCUCCUCUCGGCGGGAUUCUUGCCCAGAUUUGACUUUCCGGUGGUGCAUCGCCGGAUUUCUUUCAUUUCUGCUUACGCCGCGGUGGUCGCAGCUGCUCGGUUUUGCUUCGUGACGGAGCUCGUUGGUUGGUUCAGGUGGCGCAAUCCAAGGCUGGUUGUUUGUGGUGGUUACUGGCGUGGUCUUCCUCACCGCCGUGUUAGCUCUCGGCUCUUUUUGUGGGUCGUCGGUGAUGGUAACCCAUAAAAUUAUCAGAGUUUUGUGGCGGCUUGGCUCCUCUCCGGUGUGGCUUUGGGCCUAGUUUGGUUCAUUCCGGUACGGUCCUCCUUGAUUGUGGUCCAACGGUGUUGUCUUGCAUCGGCUGGAGUGGGAUUUUGCCUUUGGUGUUUGUGUUUUCUUCGUUUUGAUGCACAGCUUGGUUUGCUUUGCGCUCCGCUCCGGUGAGAGUUUUGUGGUUGAAUAGAGGCGGCGGUUCGGUCUAGGUUGCAUUAUCAAACCCGUGGGAGAUGGUUCCUGUAGCUCCACGCUCGGGAAUGAUGGUCAGAGGCGGCUUCUCUGGCUGUCCAUAGACGCUCUCGUGCCGCCGGGUGCGAUAACGUCCACUCUAGCUGUUCCGUUUUUGCGUUAGUCUUCGGAGAAGCUGUAGGCGCCCUUCUUUCUCGAGGUUUUGGGACAGACUUCGGGUAGGGUUUGCUCGUGGCAACUAGGAUGAGGACUCGAACUCUUUGGAGUUGUGGCAAUCACGCAAAUGUCCGAGUUUCGCGGCUUGGAAUCGGUGUUUCUUCUUCGGAUCUUUGUUGGUUGUUUCGCUGUUGCUUUCCUUGUUGUGUUUUCUCUUGUAUUCGUAGAUCUUUUAGUUGUAGUUUUUGGUUGUUCUGUGUUCUUCGUUUUCUCUGUAAUCGCUGUCGCAAAACUGAAAAUGGUAUAAAACUUAACCUUUUACCAAAAAAAAAAAAAAAAAAAGAGUGCAACAAGAGAAGCUACGAGUCAUGGUUUCUCAAUCUCAAUCUCCGUAGAACCAAUUGUAUUUCGGGAUACUUCCUACAACGCUACGAAGAAGGUUACAAAACAAAUUUUUUCCAUGAGAGCAGUGAUUUACAAAACAAUGGAGUCUCCAUCGAUUUUCUGCCACACGGAAAGGUCAAGAUCGAAGCUUGUGAUGCAAGUCAUGGGAUAUUGCUUUGUGUUGAUAAUACAGGACUAAUACCGGAAUACAUAGUCUGCAAACCAACCACAAAACAGUAUCAGAUCAUACCAAACACAAAAGUGGGGAUUUGGGAUGUCUCAUUCGGUUUAGCGGUAAUCGGAUUGAACCCUUUCCGGUAUAAAAUACUAAGGCUUUCGCAGUCGUCUCGGCGUAUGUGUAUGUCUCGGGGUGUGUAUUAUGCGAAUCACAGAACUUUUACGUGCGAAGUUUUCGAUUCCGAUUCGUUUACCUGGAAGAGAUUAGAAAAUUUGCGUAUACCAAGAACAGACGGUUUAAUUCUUUCCCACCCGGUACAAGCUUCGGGGUUGUUCUUGCAUUGGAGAUCACGGAACAACAAUGUGAUCCGGUUCUGUCUCAAAACCGAAACUUGGUCUUUCUUCCAUACUCCGAACUUUGGUGUUUUCUCAGGAUUAGUCAGAUACGAAGGGAAGCUAGGUGCUAUUUGUCAGUGGACAAACAAAGAUCAAGAAAAUGUUCACGGAUUAUGGGUUUUAACGAGCAGUUUUGAAAAGUCGUGGGAAAAAGUGAAAGAUAUUAAAAGCAUUGGAGAAGAUUUCAUUACGUGGACUCUAGGAAACGACGUCGUGUUGUUUUGUAAUUGGGAUCGUUUUUGCCUCUACAACAUAAACACAGAGAAGUUGAAAUUAGUUCAUACAAACAAGGGCUUUGCCUCUUACGUUUGCUUCCCGUUUUGUUCUGAUUACGAGAAGGUUGAUAGGGACGAAAGAAGAAAUGGGCCGACACUUUUAACAAAAAGAAAAAGAAAUAGGUCGACAAAUGCAAACUAGUCAACAAGGCUCUCAAUAGGCUCGCUCAACGUGGGACAUUAAUUAUCAAUAUAUAUCUCUAGGAAUAUUAAAAAAAAAAUAUUUAUAGGUGAAAAGGAAUAUUUAAUUUUGUUUUUUUUUUUUCAGCAAACUAAAUAUAUUAAUUAACUGGAAUCGUUACAACGCAUGUUUCUGAGCCACAAAGGCUGAUUCACCGAGUCAGAAUAGAACUCUGUAGUGUUACAAGUAAAGGAAGCGAGACAAUGUACAAUGCUAUUACAGUGACGUCUUACAAAGGUGAAGAAAAUUGAAGAAAAUCUAGAUGACCAAAGAUCAAUAUCAAGUAAAAGGUUUGCAAUCUCGAUAUGUGAUGAGAUGCAUGUGAUUGCCUUGAUAAGAAUCUCGCAAUCUCCUUCAAAUUGGAUCUUCUUGUACCCUCUAAUCCAAGCUUGCUGCAUAGCCACUAACAAUGCCUUUGUUUCCGCCUCCAAAGGAGAAGAAAUGUGCGCAAGUUUUGAUGAACCCCAUGCUUUAGCUUCUCCAUGAUGAUCUCGAAUUAUCCAACCGGCUGUACCCCGAGAUGAAUUGAUAUCUACACUUGCAUCAAAGUUACAUUUAACGAAAAAGAAAGGUGGCUUUGUCCAAGAGGAUGUCUGAGUUUGAAACUGCCUUGUUUCCGAAGGUAUCGUAGAUCGUGACCCCAACGUGUGUAACCAUUCUUCCACUUCUGCUUGUGCUUGUAAAACGAUCCGUGUUGGGCUUUCUCUGAAGUUAUUAAAGACCAAUUUGUUUCUAGCCUUCCAAAGUUUCCAUAUAAGCCAAAAUGGGAGAAGUUUUUGAGCUUCGGUAAGAUUCAGGUUGCCAUAAGAUUCAAUUAUAUGGGAUACAUUUUCUUCUGAAUUCUCUGAGAAUUGAUGUCCAUUCAGCACCGGAGAGUUUGAAAGACGCCACGUUAAAUGUGCGAAAUUACAAUUGAACAGAACAUGGCUGAUCGUUUCUUCUUCAGAUGGACACCGCGGGCAAUGUGGGUCGAUUUUCAUUCCUCUUGAAGUUAAUCUAGAUCGAGUAGGAAUAACUCGUGAUGUUAUCCUCCAUAGCAUGUGUUUGAUUUUCGGAAUGAUCGGAAGUUUCCAAAUUUUAUUCUUCAAUUCCACUAAACCAUGCGGAAUGGCUGGUUUAGUUUGUGUAUCCAUAGGGUCAUGUGUAAGAAACCAAUAACCCGAUCGAACAGUAUAAACGACAGAGGUGGUGUAAUGCCAUAUCAGUCUAUCAGGAGGUUCAUUUCUAGAAAGAUAUAUGUUGUGAAUGAAGCUAUGAUCACAAGGAUCAAUGCCUUGGAGAAUUUUUUGGCUAUUCCAAAAUCUAAAUGAACCUUCUUUUGAUAUAAGAUGGCUUACUGUAUUCGUCAUUUAUGUACCUAUGGUUCUGAUUGGUCGCGGUGGGUGAGCAUCGAUCACAUUAUCUUUAUCUAGAUGAGCUGUUUUUCCGUCACCAAUAAGAUAUCUACUGCCUUUUUUAUCACAUCCAAUCCCGCAAGCAGAGAUGUCCAUCCAUAAGAUUGGUAACUUCUUUGUUUUGCAUCCAAUAUACAAUCGUCUUUGAAGUACCUUGCUUUCAUUAUUUGAGCCAAGAGAGAGUUGGGAUAUUGUAUUAUUCGCCAUGCUUGUUUUGCUAAUAAAGCAUCAUUAAACUUUGAUAGAUCUUUAAAUCCCAAACCCCCUUCUUUUUUCGAAUAUUGCAACCUUUUCCACGCAAUCCAUGGAAUCCCUCUCUUCUUUGCAUCCUUUUCCCACCAAUAGUUCAUGAGAACGCCCUCUAUUUCAUCAAUAACUCCAGCUGGUAAUUUAAAGCAUGACAUCGCAUAAAUCGGCAUCGCCAUAGCCACCGAUUUCAACAUAAUUUCCUUUCCGGCUGGUGAUAAAUGCUUUGCACUCCAACUUGAAGUUCGUUUUUUAACUCUUUCAAUGAUGUAAUCAAACAUUUCUCGCUUUUUCCGACCAAAUUGUUUUGGUAGGCCCAAAUAUUUUCCUCCACCACCAUGAUUUCUGAUUCCCAGAAUCUGUUUUAGUCUAUUUUGAGUAGUACCAUGGACCUUUGAACCGAAGGUUAUCAUUGAUUUGGUCAUAUUUAUUUUUUGGCCGGAGUAGUAUUCAUAGAUGUCAAAAACAUCCUUUAAAGCUUGGCAGUUCCUACUAUUGGCUUGACAGAAAAAUAAAGAGUCAUCCGCGAAUUGAAGAUGAGUGAUACUUGGAACUCCCAAUCCAAUUCGUAUCCCCCGAAUAUCUCCAUCCGCAGCUCUAGAAUCAAUGAGGUGACUAAGAAUAUCGGCGCAAAGGAUAAAAAGAUACGGUGAAAGCGGGUUACCUUGUCGAAUCCCGCGUUGUGGUUUGAUAUUGCCAUGAGGAACUCCAUUGAUUAAAACCGAAUAUUGGACUGACCUAACUGUACCCAUUAUCCAUGAAAUCCAUUGUUCAUUGAAGCCAAACAAACGAAGUGUUGUCUCUAGGAAAUUCCAUUCUACCCGGUCAUAAGCUUUGCUAACAUCGGUUUUCACUGCCAUGUACGAUUGAGAAACUCUUUUACGUACCUUUAGGGAAUGCAUCAUUUCAUGGAAUAUUUAAUUUUGUUAAUGGUUUGUGUUUCUUAGAAGUUUAUGUAAUAACACCAAACAUUUUUUUAUGAAUAUUUUUUUGAAAAAUUCCUUAAAAUACCACAUUUCUCAAAAAAAAAUUAAAAACUAGAUUUUAACCCGCAUGAUGAUUUAUUUUUAAAUUAGUAUAUAUAAAAUUUUACAAAUUGAGUAACGGUAUGCCAAGAGUCCACGAGACAAUUGUUAAUAAACUGAGGAUUUAACCCGUAUUAAAGCGAUAUGUUAAUGAUAUUUUAAAAUUUUUAUAAAUAUUGAUUCAAACCUGUCCGCCAUAUAAAUCCGUUCCGAAAUAUAAUCCAUCCCGUAAUUUCUUAACCCGUCCCGUGAUUUGUUUUCUAAAAAUAAUGAUUUUAAAAUUUAAUGAUUAUUUAUUAUAUAUAAAAGUUACAAAUUGUAUAUAUAAUAAGACAUUUAUAUUUUAAUAAACCGAGGAUUUAAUCUGUAUUAAAGCGGCAUAUUAAUGAUAUUUUAAAUUUUAUAAAUAUUGAUUCAAACUCUCGUCCACCAUAUAACCCCAUUCCGAAAUACAGUAUAACUUGUCCUGUAAUUUCUUAACCCGUCACGUGAUUUAUUUUCUUAAAGUAGUAAUUUUAACGAUUAUUUAUUAUAUAUAAAAGUUUACAAAUUGUAUCAUUCUCUAAGACAUUUAUUUAUUAUAGUUUACAAUUGUUAUUAAGUAACAUUAUACCACGGGACAAUUUUUGGUUUUAUACAAUCUUUUCUAAAUGAUACUAAUUUGAUAUGUCUAAUAUUGGUGGUAUUAAAAAAAAAUUAGGAUUUAAUCCGUAUUGAUGCGGCGGAUGAAUGAUAUUUCAAAAUUUUUAUUAUUGUUGAUUCAAAAACCUAUCCCGCCAAACUCGUCCCGCCAAUAAACCUAUUUAUUUUAUUAAUAUUGAUCUUAUUUAUAAUGUGAUUCGGAAUUAUUGUCUAAAUAUUUUAGUCGAUGUGGAACGUUGAACACAUAUUUUUUGUCAAUUAGAUAAUAUAUGUCCGUUUUUAAAAUUUCGAAUCACAGUAUAUGCAGAAAAAAAUCAAUUUUUUUUACUUUAUGUAAUAUAUGAUGAUUCAAAACAGUUAAAAACAAAUUAAAUAAAAAUGAUAGAAAAAUCAUAAUUCUAAAUCUUAAUCAAAUCUUCUAAAUAUCUAAAUUAUUAAAUAUAGAAUAUUCGGUGUCUGAGUUGGAUUAAAUAUAACCCGAUCCAACAAACUUUUUAUGACCAAAUUUGUAAACGGAUCAGAUAUCCAUUGUAUCCAAAUGUAUUUUGCUCCAUCCGCUAAAAAUAUACUUCAAAAAUACUAGUAUAGAUACUAUCACUGGUUUAAUAUUUUCAAUAAUACUACAAAUUCAAUAUAUAAAAUAUUUUUUAAAAUGAAUCACAAUAUUUUUAAUAUUGUGGAAAUAGAAAUCCUAAAUUAGAAAGAGGGAACCCAAUGGUAUAUUUUUUAAUUUUAUUUUGGUUGGACAAAUAUUUUUAUAUAAAAAUUUGUGGUAUUAUUGGGAAAAUAAAUUAGUGAUGAUACUUUUGAACAAAAAUUAAUAGUUGGUAUUUGAAGAUUUUUUUUUUUUAUAAUAAUGGUUAUCUUAUUUAUUGGCUAGUUAUUUUAUUAUAUCAAGGGUUCUGUUUAUGAAAACAAUUAAUGUAUAGAAUACAGUGUCCCAGAUUUCUCUCAUAAAAUAAUAUAUUAGUCGAUAAAAAGAUAUUUUUAAUAUAUUAGAUAUACAAUAAUAUUUUAAUAUUUACAAGCGACAACAAAAAAAAAUCUUAAUAUUUAUAAGCAACAAAUAUAUAGACAAAACACGUUAUAUCUUACUAUUGUUUACAUAUAUUUAUAUAUCACUAUAACACGUAUGUAUGUUAUUGAACUUAUUAAAAAAAAUGUUAUUGAAAUUAUAAGGUUUCAUACAUGUGUAUUUUACACGUAUAUUCUCCCAAAAAAAGCAUGGUGAUGGUACACAAAAUUUAUUAAUAUUUGGCAAUUAGAUUUUUUUUCUAAAGUUUAUCACAAUAUGUAUUAACUUAUAACAGAUGGUAGAAGAUAAGAAAAUUACAUCAGAUUCAUGCAAUUAAAUUUUAUAAUAUAUCAUUUUUAAAAAAUUAAUUAAAAGAAGAACUUUUUAAUAAAAUUGAUCAAAAGAUAAUUAAUAAAAAUAAUUAAAUAUGUGAUACUAAUGAUUAAUAGAGAGUUAUUGUAAAUUUACUUUAAAAUCAUACAAAUCUUAUCCUAAUUUGAUUUGUCAUUUAAAAAUCCUAAAGAAAAAAACGCGGACAACAAGACUUUAUUUACCUUUGUCCUAACUCCUACUUAACGUACCCUAUUUAUUCAGCAUAGUCUUAUAGUAGUUACGUUGUUGAAUUCACAGAAUAGAGCAGACAUCUUUAACCUAUCUUUUAAUUUUCUGAUCUAGAUCGUUUUCAAUCCAAAAACAUCGAAAUCAUGAGUUUUUCGGUGAUGAACCAUGAGGUGAUUAUUCAGAUUCCUUCUUCUUCUCAAUUUCCAGCAACAUCGAGUCCGGAAAACACCAAUCAAGUGAAGGCUGUGAUUGUGAAGCAGCCAAAUUUGUUUAGACGUGUUAUGAAUUUGCUUUUACGUCGUAAUUCUUGAAAAAACCGACUUCGCAAGAUUGAGAACAAGAAGUCGAAGGCAAAUAAUUAAAGAAAUAUUUUAUAGUUUUAUAUGUAUACAGGAUAAACUUUUAAUAAUUAAACUCCUAGUUAAAAAAAUGUAAUUUUAUAUGUAUUCGUCAUGACUUUCAUGUUAAUAAUGUAAUUUUAUAAUUAAAAUUUUAUAUGUAUUCGUCAUGAUUUUCAUGUUAAUAAUGUAAUUUUUUCCUAUAUAUAUAUAUAUAUAUAUAUAUAUAUAUAUAUAUAUUGAUUUUGCAUGUGUAAGAGCGUUUUUAUUUGCUAGAACAUGCAAGGACGAUAGUUCCAAAAAAUUUCGACUUGAUUAAAUUAGUGAUUUGCUAAAAAAAAAAGAGAUUAAAUUAGUGUAAACAAGCUGAACACUGAAAAUUACUUUUUCAAUAAACGAAAAAUAUAAUAGAGGUAAACAUUGACGUAAGUUUAAAAAACUUAUUUGAGUAAACUUAAUAUACAUAUAUACCUGAUACCUUUAUCACUUUAUUUCAAAGAAAAAUAAUAGAAAUAACUUUCAUCAUAUGUAAAUCAAAUUCUUCGGUUUUAUAACAAUUAACCUUGAAGUUAUUUAUAUAUUUUUAUGAAAAUAUAUUAAUUAAAUGUUUUAUCAACUUGCUUUUAUUCUAUGGAUGUUGAAGCAACAAAACCUAAUGGGUACGGCAUUUUACACAUGCAUCAUCAAAUACAAGUCUUGGCUAAGAUUAUAAGAAUAUACAACGCACUAGAACGCUUUUGUUGAUGAUUCGCUUCUCUCGGAAUUGCGUCUAGUUGUGAGGCUUGUGAUCAAGUUAGUGAAAAAUUAAGAUAAAAACAAGUCCGCCAAUAGUAUGCGAUUUCAGAGGUUUAAUUAGGAUCUAAAUAGCGGAUUUAAAGCAACUAAAGAAACAAAUAAUCUUUUCGUAAAUAAAGAAAUAUAUCAUCCCAGUUUUAUAUAUUACGAUAUAUAGAUGAAUCGGCGCUUCUAUUUAUACAUUACGCAAAAAAAAAAAUAAAGAUGAAAUAUAACCAUCGAAUUCAUUAUUGAUUUCAUAUCCACCCAAAACUCAUCAAACCUCUUUUUCGAUCUGAAGUCAACAAUCAUGAGUCUUCGGUAAUGAAUCAAGAUGCGAUCUCGGUAAAGAAUCAUGAUGCGAUCAUCAAAAUUUUAAUUUUUAUGGUGUACGUAGUUCAAAUGUUAUCGAAAGCGCUUACGAUUAUGUGUUUUUCCAUUUCAAAUUUUGAAGAUUCAAUAUUGUAUUUGCUAUUUUUUUUUCAAGUAUGAUAAAUAUUUAAAAUUCUAUUCUACAUUUCUUUUUGAUAGGAUAAAUUGCGCAAAAAUAAAACUGAAUCUCACAUGAUUUUAAAUUUCUACCCACGGAAGGAGUAGAUUUGAAGCUUAUGAUGUAAGAUUUUAUUUUUGUGUUAGUGAUUUCCUGGUUAAUUGUAUUUUCUAUACAAAAUUAGGUAUUUAAUAACCAUAUGUCGUUUUUCACUGAACUAUACUCCCUAUGUUUAAUCUUUAACCUGGAAUAAUGUUCUAGAGAUUCUUAUUU
RNAcentral lists this long non-coding RNA (78327 nucleotides) under Arabidopsis lyrata. RNAcentral's name for it is "long non-coding RNA (ALYR_LNC002609)". Lineage: Eukaryota; Viridiplantae; Streptophyta; Magnoliopsida; Brassicales; Brassicaceae. The record is from RNAcentral.